UUGACUAUUUUUUUAUACACCAAGUUUAGAUUUGACUAUCCAAUAUCCCAACAAAUUUUUUUCAUAAUAUUUUAUAUUUGACAUUUCCAUCGAAAACUGACAAAGAAAUAUCCUCGAUUGAGAUUUCGAUUCAUGUGUACAAUGAAGACAAAGGAAAAAUCGGACAAGAGAAAAUGGAUAAGACAAAUAAACAAAUUGACUUCUAAGUAAUGAGAAACAAGAAAACAAAAAUAAUGAAAAAUAAAAAAGAUGCUCAAUUAACACCUUUUGUAAGCACAACUUAUAUUUACAACUUUUACUUGAAUAGGAUUUGUUUAUGUUGUACUAGUGUGUCCUUGAAUUCUAAAAAUAUAGCAACCCAUGUUCACUAAGGAAAACAAAAACACAUAAAUACAUCAAAAUAUCAGUAAGUUGAGUCACAAUCAAAAAUACAUUUGAAAAAUAGAAACUCUAAGUUGAAGAGAAAGAUCAAUUUCUUUAAGAGAGAAGAAAAAUACCUCACAGUGGCCAUGAGCUGUAGAGUAAUGGCCAUUUUGAUAGGUUUGUUUGAUUAUGGAUAUUGAAGUAGAAUGUAAGUUAAAUUUCAUCAACCCAACAUCAUAAACAAAAAUAUAUCAAUAUAGUAAACAAAAUACCUUUCGUUUAAUGGAUACAUGAAAGAUGACUCCACCCUGUAAAAAAAUGUGUACAGGAAAAAAAUUGCAUGAUAUAAAAAUUGAAUGCAAAAAAUAUAUGGACAAACCAUGGAAAACAAAAGAGAAUUUUCGAACGAGAACCGAUACAACCUAAAGUAAAGUAGUAAGAAAACAACGCAUCAAUUUUUAACAAGAGGCGUUUUGGAUGAAUUCUUAUGAUUUCUACUUUCUUUUUCGGAUUGUUUUUCAUCAUCUGAAUUUAAUUCCUCAUCAAUUGGAAAGCCUCUAAACCCAGAAAAAGGGUCAACAAAAUAUUUAUAUAUAUAUAAAAAAAAAAACUCAUCCCUUCCUGCUCUGCUCCUUCUAUUAGUCAAUCUAGCCACUAGAACAAAUCACCCUAAAUUGGAUUUUGAAAUGAAAUUACCCGAUCUCCAUCAAGGGGGGUUUCACCCUAGCCAAUGCGAAGCUCCAAUGCCUUGACGCCAGCCGAGUUCGAGAGGUCGAAGAAAUCCGAUGGACGGAUUUGGAAGGAGCGACAAUAAGAGAGCAGAGAUGGAGAUGACGAUUGAGAGGAACCAAAAGAGAGAUGGAGAUGAAAAUUGAGAGUGUAGCAGAGAUGGAGAUGGCGAUUGAGAGGAACCAAAAGAGAGAUGGAGAUGAAAAUUGAGAGUGUAGCCGAGAGAGAUGGAGAUGCGAAUUGAAAAGGCAACGACUGAGACGGCGAUUGAGAGUGCAGCGGCUGAGACGACAAGUUCUGCAUCUUCGUGCGUUUUGAUUAAGGGAAGGAACGUGUUUUCAUCCUAGGGUUUUAGAAAAGAGAAAACGGACUUAAUUGAAACGACGUCAUUUUAGUACUAAAUUUCUUGACGUUUUUAAAAACGUCAAGGAUUUUUUUUAUAAAUUUCUUGACAUUUUUCAAAACGUCAAGGAUUUUUUUAUAAAUUUCUUGACGUUUUUAAAACGUCGAGUAAAAUUUUAAAUUCUUGACGUUUAAGAAACAUCAAGCAUGUCGAAUUUAUACGCUUCUUGACGUUUUAAGAACGUCAAAAAAUUAAUAGAUAUUUCUUGAUGUUUUAAAAACGUCAAGAAAAAAAUUAUUUCUUCUUGACGUUUAAUAAACGUCAAGAAUGAUGUUUCAGAAAAAUUCUUGACGUUUUUUUAUUAAAAAUGAAAUCUUUUUUGACGUUUUUUGAAAAAAAUGUCAAGAAAGGAAAACAACAACCGUCAAGAAAGCCCAUUUUUCUAGUAGUGCGAUCUUAAACAACCAAAUAAAAGUUUGAAAAAAUAAUACAGAAAAAUGAGAGAAAAAAACGAUGGAAAGAAAAUAAAAUCACAUAAGAGGGAAGAGAAGAAAGACAAUGAAAAAGAAUCAUGAACUUUUUCAUUUUAUCAUAUGAAAGGUAAAUAUUUUGCCAACUUAUUAUAUUUUUGCCAAUCUUACUAUAUUUAAAAAUAAUUUCAAUUUUUUUUUUUAAACAAUUACUCAAGUCUAUAAUUAAGAAGAGAACAAAAAUGACAUAAAGAAAUUUUUUAAAAAAAAAUAGAAAAGUAGUUUGGGUUUAGGGUUAUAUUUAUAUAUAAAUGUAGAAUUAGUGUUGAGUGCUCAUCCAUCUAAUAUCCUUUAUGGUUACAUUGUGACCACACCAAAAGCAACCCCACAAUUUUAUUUAUUUAUUUUCAUUCUCAACUAUUCUUCUCUCUCUCCAAACACACACACUCUCUCUCUCUCUCUUCUUUUGCCAUUUUUGUUGUGAAAUUUUGCAGGUUAGGUUAUUGUGUGAAGGGAAAAAGGUAAGGUAAGGAUGAUGUUGAGGGUAGUAGUGAACUUGAAAGCAAAAAUAAUGAAGUCAUUGAAGAUGAAGAUGAAGAUGAAAGCAACAAAUUACGAUGCAGAUUAUGAUAAGAUGGAGAAAAGUGAAAGCAUGAGAGUUGAAAUCAGAAGCAGAAAAGCCCAGAAGCUCAUCCAACAGUCCUUGAAAUUUGCUGACUCUCCCUCUUCUAAAACUUAUGCCUUUUGAUUUCUUAUAUAAAUAUCAAUUUUCUUCUCUUAUAUCUCAAUCAAUCCCACCCCCUGCCCUUAAUUUCAUCUAUACCCUUCCCCUCCCUCCCUUCCUUCCUUCAUCACUACAUAAUUAUAUAUGAACAAAAGUAUCUAAUAAUAAAAUAAAAUAACUCACUUUUCCUUAUUCUCUUCUCUUCUUCUUCUUCUUCUUCUUCUUCUCAUCCUCUUUUUCUUUUUUCUAUCGUGGCUGAAACCAUUAAAUUUAUAAUACAUAUUUAUUUCUAUAUAUGAUGAGACUAUGUGUUUUUAUUAUUUUGUUACUUAAAUUAAUGCAAACAAACAUUUAUAGUUGUUUCUUUAUAUUAAUUAACCAUAUGGACAAAAUAUGUGUAUUUUAUUACUCUAUCUAUUUUUCUUAAUUUGAUGAGGGGACAAAUUAGAAAUUAAUGAAAUGUAGUUAAACAUUCUUUCUACCAUUUUUAGUUGGUUAAUUAUAAGAAAAAUUAUGGCCACCACAAUAAAAACAUAGAUUUUCAAAUUGGUUUGUUUUAGAACAAUUUUUUCUUCAAAGGAAGAGAUACUAAGAGAAAAUAUAUGAGAAGAAAAGCAUGAUCUAUCUAAUUAAAUUUGGAACAUAUCAUCUACCUAUUAUUUAAUCAUCUUUUGCAAUCAAUAUAGAUAUUACAUAUACAACUGCUAAGUUUUUUUUUUUUUUCUUUUUUAAAGUUAAAGUUAGGGAAAUGAUAAAUUAAGGAGAUAUAUAUAUAUAUAUAUAUGGUAUGUUAGGAAUGUGUGGUAUAUAAUCAAAAAAGUUUUAUCCAUGAUUUUUGUAUAGGGAAGCAAAAUGAUGUGGAAACAUAUAAAAGAAUAUGGUUGGUAGAAGAAAACUUAUCUCAUCAAAAUUUAAUGGUGUGAUGAAAAUGACAACUUUUAUUUUCUUUUCAGUGGGAUAUUCAAAUCUAUUUAUAUCAUCUUUUGCAUGGCACCCAAAUGAAAGUGCUUCUUCAUUAUUGUAGAGAAGAUAUAAGCUAUACCAUUUGAGCCAAUAGUGUAUAGAACAAAGUGGAUUUUACUUUCUUUUUCAUUAGUCAAACAACUAGCAGCUUGAUUUUCAAAGUGGUGCAAUAUUAUUUUAGUUUAUAUAAUAAUGUAAUGCUUUCAAAUAUUGUUUGCCUUUGUUUAUGUUAAUUAUCAAUUUCAAUUAUCUAACUUAUGCUAUGCCUUCAAUUAAUUUUAAAUUUUCUUCUAAUUCAUUUUACCUUAAUGUUUAUCAAAAUCAACUUAACAAUAAUAGUAAUAUUUUAAAUGAAGUGUUCAUAAAUAUAAUCAACAUUUUAGACCAAGAUUAUUAUUUGAAAUCUUAGAAUGAAUAAUGUGGUUUGAGUGUCGUCAAAAGUUGGUGAGCAUGUAAUUUCAUAGUUUAAAGAGAAAAAUAUGAGUGAACAAGUAUCACGUUUGAAUUAAAGGAAUUUAAUGGACAUGAAAGUUAAAAUGAUUACUAGCUAUAAUCUACUACCAACGAUGUUACGUUUUCAUUUUAGUAAGUCAAUAUCAUAGGAAGGCUAAGAUGAAGUGUGUUUGACACGGAAUAAUCUUAGUUGGACGAAGUGUGUAAAUAUACACAUUGAAAGGACAUUUUGGUGGGUGGAAAAGUGUUCAGUCGUAUAGAGAGAAGACUGUAAAAAGUAAAAAGAAAUGAGAGGACAUUGUGGACUUCUCAAGAAAUUUACCAAGAGAUCUUUAACCACACCAUAGAGAUCAAUCAAAGUUUUAUAACCAUCAAGAAUAAAUUUAGACAAAACUAAAUGGGCAUCAAUGUAACAAUCAACUCAUCACAAUGUAAAAAGAGAUUAUAAAUAUCACAAUCAAGGAAGAUAUAUUUUUCUUGUUUACUUGGUAGGACUAACCAACUUUACUAUUAAAAGAACAAUGUUUCUUUUGUAUACAUGAAAUUAGUUGGCUUUUUAUUGCCCAUGAUGACAUAUGUAUAUACACACACCCUAUCAUAUUUUUAUUUAUUUGAAUUCACUUAUCAUGUGAGUACUGUCAAGAAUUUGUAAAUGUACAUUGUUAAAUGAUUGGGAAAAAAUACAAAGUAAAAACAAACAAAAAUAUAAAUAACAACUAACAAAAGAAUAUCUAUGAAAAAUGGAGUUUUUCUUUGACACUGUUUUAGCUAGAAUUUUUUUGAAAGAAUUGAAUGUUGAAUUUUUGAAGAAAUGUGGUGGAGUUCCAUUAGCUGUUAAGAUGACGAGGAAGGUUCAACUAAAAGACAUCAUGAUAGAGGUAAAAUACAAAGCACGAUUGGAAGAAAAAUAGAUAUAAAAUUCAUGAAAAAGUAAGAAUUAAAAGCUUUGAUUUCUCUUUUGUUUACAUAUGUUAGUGCAAAAAAUGUAGUGCAUUCGCUUGUUGCUCAUUACCAAAAAGAAAGAAGAAAUAAAAAGAAAAAGAAAACAAAUAAUAAAUUUUUAAAAUGUUAGAGACGUGUUGAAAUAGAGUAUUGAAUUUUAAGAUUUAUUGACAAAAUUGGUUAAACGUAAACAUAUAAAAGUACAUAAAAACUGUGAAAGCUUAUGCAAUUUGAGAAGGGAUUCGACUCUAGGAGAAUAGAGAUCGAGGAACGUCAUCUUUUAUAUGAUUCUUAGAUUUAUGGUGCAUAUUGUCACGUUCCGGCGAAAAUGAUUCCAAAAUUUGUGCCAAAAUGAUGUCCAAGGCUCUUUUAACAACCAAGAAGGAGCCCAACUUACCCAUUUGACAAACCAGUGCAGCUAGGACACACGCACAUGACACUAAUGUGUGCCCAUCCAAGGUAGUCAAGCCUCGCACGUACCAAGACAGAUGCUCAUGACAGCCUAAUGUGCGUGUGCAGAUGCCACAGCCCCAUAGGCAAAACUCAGAUGCCAAUGAGCUCAUGGCACCAACACUAAGCACACAGCUCAUGCACACAAGCGUUGUGCAUAUGGACAAGUGGCAGCCCAAGCAUGCACGCAUACAUGUGCAUGCCCCAGACGGUCACCCUUGCUCGCAAACGCAUGGCGUGUGCGCCCCACACUAGCCUGCAACAUGUGCACUGCAUCGUGCAAACUCGCAGUUCGGUUUGAUUUGAUUUAAAGCUGAAACUACGCCUAAUCGCAAAAUGCAAAAGAAAUCUCAUCUGAAAUCGAACCAAAUCGCUCAUCUGGGUCAAAUUGAAUUAAAAUUGAAUCGCAUAUGCAAUUCAAUUUUGAUUCGAUUUUAAAUUAUCUUAUACCAUUGGCAUAUGUGCCUACAACCUCCUACACUAUCGUUUAUCAUUCUAUACAAUCGUUCAACCUCUUACACUUACACGAUCCUUUAGCUUUCUAUACAACCGUUCAACCUCUUACACAAUCAUUUAGCUUUCUAUACGAUUGUUUACCCUCUUACACAAUCAUUUAACUUUCAAACGAACAAUCGUAAUUAUUUGCCCUUUUACACGAUCAUUUAGCUUUCUUACACAAUCAUUUAGCAUUCUAUACGAUCUUUUAGCUUUCAAACGAUGAUUCAACUUUCUAUACGAUCAUUUACCCUUUUACAGUUUCGUUCGAUUUUAGAAUCGGUUUAAUGUCUUAAACCGAACCAACCACAUAAGAAUCGAUUUCAAUUUAAAUGAAACUGCAUGCAUUCGGUUUCAAUUAUGUUUUGGUUUGGUUGUGGUUCGGUUUGCGAUUCGAUUCAGUUUUCAACUAUUUUUUGAACAUCCAUAGAGUAUACACGCAACACACAACCCUUAUGCAAGCCUCAGACUUGACAUACGUGCCACACUACACAUACUCGCAACGCUUGCCCCUCAUAUGUGUCGCCCCGCACGGCACCAUGCGCCCAACCUAGAGCACCCACGCCUUAGGCGUGCGCCCCUCAUGCAAGCCACAUCGCGCAUACUCAUAGCGGAUGCCCUUCAUGCACUCCUUAGACUUGGCAUGUGUGUCACCUUGCACAUACACACAACUCAGCACUCAGCCCAACGCACCCAAACCUCAGGUGCGCGCAAUACCUUGUGCGUGCGCCCAUGUUCCAAAUACCCCUAAAAGCAUCUACAAACCUCUUGAAGCUUCCAAAAGGGGUUAAACACGUUCAUGGUCGUGUUGCAUCACCCACCCAAGGCCUAGACAACCCUAGAAGGCUUGAAAUGGUGCCAGAGCAUUCUAAAAGUGUCUAGAUCACCUAAGAAGGCCUUGAAACAUACUGGAGGAUGCUAGGGAAUGUUGAAAUAUUUCAUGACCGUACUUUUAAUAAAAUCAUGGUGGAAUGUACAAGAAAGAUCUAGAGAAGUCUAUGGCCGACCUUCUAAGGCCCUAAGGUCAGUUGUCAUGUCUAUAUAUAUUUCAAAGGCGGCUCAUUUGUACAACUCUAAGAACUCACUUGGUUGUAAUUCAAACAACUCCAAGAAGAGUUAACCCAAGCUCUUUCAUUCUCUCAAACCUCUUUUGCCUACACCACAAUUUUUCUAUUGUCAUACUCAUCACAAGUGCUUUGUACUCUAACCUUUAAAUGCUUACUUGGCUUCUUUGACAUCAAGAUUGUCCAAGAGCCGCACGUUUAGGUAGUUGAAAACUCUAACCACGUGACAAUAUGCUAUAUAACUAGCUUGAUGAUUUCUGUAAAGUGGAUUCAAUUGUUAGACAUAUAGAAUUUAGACAUACAUUUUGUGAUUAAAAUAAAAUUGAACAAAUAGAUGGAAAGACCAAUUUUGUAAUUUUAUUAAGGUAAAAUUAAAUCGAUAAUAAAAUUAUUGUACUUAAAAAAAAUUUCCAUCACAAGUUCUAUAUAUCAUCAUGAAAUAUUACAUCUUCUUACACAAAACUUAACCCAAAAAAAUUAAAAACAAUAAAUAUUAUGUAGAAAAACACUUUUUUUUUUUUACGUUCACAUAUUUAAUUAAUUUGUAACUAACAAAGUUAGGUUCAUUUGAUCAUGUUUAAGCACUUUGCCUUUAGUUAAUUAUAAUAAUAAAGUUCUGUAUUUCUCAUGAAAAGAGAAUAAUAAGGUUGAUGACUGGAUAUUGUUUGGACAUGAUUGUGCAUAUUUGGUGGAUGUCAUCUUUAUAACUUUUAAACAGCCUUUACUUUCAUUAAUUAAGAUUUCUCCCAAAAAGAAAAUCCACCUUUACUUUUAUGCUCUCAGUCCUUCCCCAUUCCUUUUCUUUUUUUUUUGUGGAAUUCAUCAAAGUUUUACAUUUAAACUAUUCUUUGAAAUCCCCUUUUUGUUGCUUUUCUGUUCAUUAGAUAUUCUAUUUUAAUAGGCAACAAGAUUCAUCCGUACUCAAACAUUGUUACACGAUAAAAUAAUUGACAGUCUUCACAAAUCUAUGUUAGCAUUUCUCUGAUAAAAAAGACAAUAAACAGCCAAAAUGUUACAACAAUACAAUCAUUCUGAAUAGUAAAUUGGUUCUUUGAAAAUUUACAGAUUCUAUUUCUUAAGAAUGUUUCACCAUCCAGUAGAAGGAUUGAUCUUGGUUCUUAAACUUCAACGCAUUAAUACAUUUAUGUUAUGUUUGAUAUAUAUUUUUAAGUGUUUAAUUUUAAUAAGUCAUUUUGAAUAAAUUUGGAGUGUUUAACAUUCAAAAUAACUUUUGAAACGUACUUUAAACAAUUUUGAAUUGAAAUGAUUUUUUUUUUAAAAAAAAAAACACUUUCUUCCCUGGACAAUCCAAAAGAUCCUUUGGAUCCACAUGAACAGUAUUACUUUGAAUAAGAACAAAAUUAAUUGUUUAAGAGAAAAAAUUCUAAAAAAAUAGGCAUCUUAAGAACAAAUGCAUUAAUCAAGAAAUAAGUUGGAAAUAUUUCACAUGAACAGCUAGAAAAAAGUGUCAAUUAUUUCAACAUACUAAUAAUCUGCUUUAUGCACGUAAUGAUUUCCAAAAAGAUGUACGGAUGGCUUUUCUUUUCUUUUCCUCCUUCCUAAUAUCUUCUUUCGGUUAAAUGCAGAAGAAAUCAAACAAGACAUUCAAAAACAACAUCAUAACAAGCCAAACAAAUUGAAACUUUUCAAAAUAAUUACAAUAUUCAGUGUUGAGCACAACCUUAGCAUUGAAGGAUUUGUGGGAGGCAGGUUGGCUUUUAUUUGCUUCAAAAUCUUCAGCCAACUUCAAAUUUUUUUUUGUAAAGGCAUUGUAAUAAAUGCUGGAGUGGGAAUUUGAAUUUGAAACCUCUUGUCCACAGGAACAUAUAGGUGUCAGUUGAGCUAAACUCAUGUUGGCCACCCAACUUCAAUUUCUCUAUGAAAUCACCUAAAACAAAAUCACUAUCAAUCAUUGUAAAGCUUCAACAUAGGAUUUUAUAAACUAUCUUUCUAAUGGGGUAUUCUGCAGUUAAGUAGACUCUUGGACAAGUCCCAGCCUACGUGUUUGGCUUCUAAUACAAGGAGAAUGGUAGCAGUACGUUUUUGCACAGCACAUGAAUUUUAAGUCAAUGCUUCUCAGAAUAAUGUCCUGAUUACAUUAUUAGGUUUGCACAACAUUUUGUGUGUAUAACUCUAUGUGUUUCUUAUUUUAAUUAAUUCUUUUAAAAACUCUAUUCAUCUACUUUCUAUUUUAGACUUUUAAAACACCUCAAUUUUAGUUGAAACUUUCUUUUCGUUACACAUGUGAUCCAAACACAAAAGUACUGAAGUAGAUAAUUAUUUAUUUUAAAACAAUUAAAAAAUAAGAUAAAAAUGACUUAAAUAAUGGUAAAGUUUGUCAGAGUAUUAGUAUGCCAUAUUCGUUCAUAAAAGAAAAAUGUUUUCUUAUACCCUAAGUAUUGGUAUUGGGACCCAUCAUCACUAAUCCUAGAGAACCUUUCGGCGGUCCCAAGGUCCAAAUGAGAGCAUUAAGAGGUUUUUUCUCAUUAAGCUCACUCAAAGGUUUAAACAUGUGGCUUUUGACAAGAUAUUACCAAGAAACAGUGUGUCUUUGCCGACGGGGUCACCCCGUUGGGACCAAAAAUACAAUGAAAAUAGAAAAAUAUAUAAAUGAAUCACAUCAUAGAAAAGGUAGGAUAUAUUUAUUAGGGUGGGCACAAUUUUUCAUUUACUUUUAGAAAAAUAAAUGCAACCAAGUAUGAAAUUAAUGGAAGUAAGAAAGCAAAAUGUCAAAGGACCAAAAUAAAAGGGUUAAGAAAUCAAAAAACGUCUAAAGGUUUUUUCUUAAAAAAAAAAAAAGUUAACAAGGUACAAAUUGGAUCUUGAUAAGUUGCUCGCUAUUUGUUUGUGCUCAUAACAGCGUGAUAGAACUCGGAUUAUCUAUUCACUAUUUAAGCCAAAAUGCCAAGGAAGUCGAGGCUCCCUCCUUUCAACAUGCUCACAGGGCUACACUUCACAGAAUGCAAAAAGAUAAUUAAAAGACUUACCCAGAGGCAAUCUAAAUAGCCCAAUCCUAACUAACCCUAUAUCCCUGUAGAGCCCACUGUAACUUCUUUUACUCCAUAACUAACCGUUUUCCCUUUAACAAUUAUUUACAGUUAUCUCCCUUCCUCUCUUUUUUCUCAUACACCUCCUAAGGAUCGAGGGUCUAUCACAAUGCUAGUCUUUAAUCCAAUUUCUCAAAAGCAAAAUCCACCAAUACCCAACUCAGAUGAAUUUCGAAAAGUAUACGGAACAAUAUGACAAUCAAAAGUGGGGGCAAGUUACCUGAUCUAACAAGAUGACAAAUUAAUGGCUUCGAUGGUACAGUGUCUGCAGAUCCUUGCAGUGAAUACAAGUCCAUGGUAACAACGGUGGGUCCAGACAAUAUGAAUGAAUUUGUCGAAUUUGACAAAGAUGGCAGCUCAUGAGGAGGUCCUCUGGUUCCCGACAACGGCAUGCACUACAAACAGCUGCUACUGAGGGCUGUUAAUUAUAACUAUCGAGAAUUAGUUGUCUGUUCAGAUGGACCAUUUUAACCAUAGUAAAUAAGAAUGUCACCAGAAAAAUCAUUGAGUAUUAGCAGAGAAGAGCUACAAAUGGAAUUCUUGAAAAUGAGUACUAGCUUUGCAUCAACACCCCCCCCCCCCCCCCCCCCCCCCCCCCACACACACACACACACACCCGAACAACAAAGCAACGACAUUGAGCAUUAUAAUAUGACCUGAACAACGUUGUUAAGAGUUCUUUCAUCAGAUAGAAGGUAAAUAUCCAAUAAUGAUGAUCCACAUGGAAUGGUUUGGGAGUAUAUCUUCUGAUCCGAGGUGGCCGCAUAUUCAACCUUUGUGAUGCUCAGAAAACUGGCUUUGCACAAAGGGCACGUUGAGAUUUUUCUGCUCAAAGCCUACAAGAUACGAGACCAAUAGAUUAGGACCUUGAAACAGAUUCUGAACUUCAGAGUACAUAUUAGAACGUUGACAGCGUUUGAAUGACUGAGUAAAUCAAUCAAUUCAGAAUGACAGAACUUACUCAACAAGUUCAAAGAGCAAAAAUCAUUAGUAGUCUCAGAGUUUCAAAGCAGAAGUUGGCACUAGAGGAAAAUAAGUAAAUUUGGAGCCCGCAUAAUUUGGUUUAGUUAUAUAUCAUCUUGUGAUUUGAGGAUUUUAAUCAAGUUUAGAUGAAAUGAAUUAUUGAAAGUGAUGUUAGAUUUUCCAUCAAGUAAUGAUUAGAGGAAAAAUAAAUAAAUUUGGAGGUCACAUAAUUUGCCUAAAGAGCAAAAUGUAUGGACAAUUAUAGAGACAAUUUUCAGGUUAAUUUUUCUUAAUCAGAUCUGCAACGUUGCCUAAUAGUUCAAGAAUCCCAAUACAACCAUAUAUGACAAGCAGUUAAAAUAUCCAGUGUUGAACAUUCAUGCAAAUCCCAUGGCUGCUCGAGCAAUCAUCAUCCUGAACUUCUGCAAUAUAUUAUCAUCCCUAAAACACAUUUCAUGCCAUGCUGAAUUAGAUAGUGAAUUUUACCUUUGAAUUAGAAAACAAAAAUGGAUAAGCAGUACAGAGAGAAAUUGGAAAAGAUACGAAUAAUUUAUGGAGGCAACAUAUUGUUUCUCAAUGUUAUUUGUCUGGAAGUUCUUACUUCGGAUGUAUCAAAUAAAGAACUAGUACACAAUCAUAACUAGCAUGUUCAAAACAUAAUCCAAUUACUACAAAAUAUAAGGAAUUGUCAUUAAGAAGAUUGUGAAUACGAUGGAAAAUUCAAAUAAGUAGUUCUCUAGUCCCAAUUAUCUAGGCAAAAAUGCAACCUAGUUAAUGAAGUAAGAAAAGCUAACUCUCAUAUGCUGAAUAAAUUGAACAGUUCACUGCCCAGGGUCCUAUCUUUUAUAGCAGUUUUAGCUCAAAAAGCAUAAACAAUAUCACAAGGUUUAGUCGUAUCCUUGAAUCUCUAUGAAUAGAAAUUGAAUAGAACUUUUACCAUGUGAUCUGCCCAGUUCUGAAUGCAUGAAUAGCAAAAUCGGUGCCCACAGGGUAAAACUCCCCUCGUCGAACUAAAAUCUGUCCAACAGAUGACACAUGAUAACUCUGUUGAAGUGGAGGGUAAGCUUGCAUCGAGUUCUAUAACUGGAUCCUCAAUGUUCUUUUGCAAAUCAUUCAUAUUGUGCAGUUCAUCUUCUGAAGUUAUUGAUAGCACUCUUGGUGCAUUGUCAACUAGUAAGUUUGUAUCUUUGGAAGUAGAUUGGUUCUCACAAGCUUCAACACCUUCAAAUCUGACACUUGCUAGUCCCCUUUCAUCACACAACUGUUCACGAUCAGAUGUUCCUCCAAUGUUUACCACUUCAAUAUCUGUUUCAGCAUCCCAAAGGACUGAUGGAACUGUAAGACUAUUACGAGUUCCCAAACGAUACAGCUCCGGGUCAAAAUUCGAAAUGUCAGGCUUGUUAUGAUCUUCCCUAGAGUUAUUACUUACAAGCAGGCGUCGUCUCCUUGAAGAUUUAACAGUAGAGUCUUGAUUACUACUUUCACCUUUUCUUUCAUCUCUCGCCAAGCUUGAAGGGCUACCACACUAUCGAAACAAAAUAAGAGCAAAUGUUAAUGAAGAAGGGAAAAACGUUCAAAAGUGCAUAAGAAUUUUUGUUUAGGGUAAAAUGCUUCUUUCUUUCAAGUGGCAUUAUGCCAAAAAAGACAGAGAAAUAGUAUUUCAUCAGAAUGGUGAAGGAAAUCAAUUGCCCAAGAAAAGAGACAUCGUGUAAAAGAAUAUGACAUUCUAAUAGAUGAAAAAAUAAAGCUCAAAAGAACGUAAAAAUUACACCUUUGAACAGAAUCUGAAAUUAUCUCAGGGUUCAAUUAAUAAUUUGAAAGAAGCAAACCAAGCAGCAGCUCAAAAUUUCAAAAACAGUAAUAGUGAGCUUCCAAUUUUGCCUAGCUGAGGCAAAGUAUUCCUAAGUCAAAGCCUAGCAACAAGUUAAAGGAAUUGACAAGUUCUUGGAUGAUUAUUGAUUAAUCAGAUCAGACCAUAUCAAUUCACCAACCCACACUAUGAAUGUAGAAGAAACUCACAUUAACAUAUAAAAAAAACCACUCACUAAUGUUCACUAGAACAGAUAUUUUAAGAUAUGAUUUAUUUGAACCAAUACAAAAUGUUAUAUUCUAAAUGUAGCCAUGCGGAGAAAACUCGAAGUAUGAUUGUGUUGAGUUUAUAUAUGUUUGUGGAAAAACGUUAGAAAUGCUAUACCAGACAGUGUAUACACUCAUUUCAUUAUCAGGGUUCACAAUCUUUUCCUCACACACUGCAUACCUCCUCUCAACCGUCUUGCAUUGUUUUGUUAUAUCUAAGAAAAAUCAUGUCAAACCCCUUUUCAUAUUGAAAGUUCUACAACUAAUUCUCCCAAGUCAUUUGGUUAAAAGGAUGCUAAAAUGCAUAGAAUGAAAGUAUCUGUGGCCCAUCUCAAUACUCUACUCUCGCCAUGGACUCAUGUCUCGAUAUUAUUGCCACAGUUUUUGCAAAUCGCCAACACAUGCCCUAUCAGAUUCCUACUUGUAGUCAUAUGGCUUCCGUGAAGAGAUUUUUUAUAAAAUUGAAGGGUUUUUAUCCAACAAUCUGUCUUUUCCUGCUAGUAAAAUUUAAUAUCAUGCCUAUUUGGACUCUAAGGGGGCGUUUGGGAUUUAGAGUGGGUUAUUAUAAUCUGUGGUUAUUAUAAUCUGUGGGUUAUUAUACUCCAUGUUUGGGGUGCAAAGUAUUAUAGUUUAUUUUUUGGCAUAUAUAUAUUAGGUACAUGAAAUACCAUUUUUUGAAAACAUAGCUCGAAUUGUACCUUCCACUAAUUUAUACAAACUAGUUUAUUACUAGUUGGGAUACAUGUCUUCUACAAUUUUAUAUUAUAACAUAUUUUAUAGAAAUUGCUAUGUGAUUAAAUUAAAUUAUGUUAAUUAGGUUGUUCAUUUAAUAAAUUUAGUUACAAUCUUCAUAUACGACUAUUAACAAGUUCAACAAGUAGAUAAAAUAAUUUUGCAUGGAAAAUAGCAUAAGUGUAUUUUUAAAAAUAUUAUUAUAAUUAAACUAAAAAUGUAUUUGGAAUGACUUAGAAAAAGAUUUUUCAAAAAUUCGUUUUUAUUUAAACACUUUUGAUGAAAACUUCUUAAAAUAAAAACACAAUGUGUUUUAAAACAUUUUUUAGAAGUACUUGUAUAUACAAGUUUUUAUUUGUUUGUUAGAUACACUAAAAAUGUUUUUUUAAAAUUUUUCAAGAUUGAUUGGUGGCAACAGUUGCUGGAGUUGGUUUUCGAAAGUUUCCUGGUAGAGUCACUGAGAGUGGUGGUUGAAGAUUAGCCAACGACGAUCACUGAAGACUAGCCUAAACUCUAAAAAUAUUUUUAUUAAAAAUUUUCAAUAUUGAUUGGUGGCGACGAUCGCCAGAGUUGGUUGUUGAAAGUUCGUCGAUGGAGUCACUGGAGGUGGUGGUCAGAGAUUGGCCGAUGAAGAUCACCAAAGAUUAGCCUUAAACCCUAAAAAAUUUAUAAAAGUUUCAAGGUUGAUCGGUGGUGUUGAUUUUAUGGAAUCAAUCUAUAUUUCAUUAAUUACUUAAUAGAGAUACAAGCCUAUAUAUAACCAUAGAGAAAUACACUUAAGGAAAUAAUAUCAAAUAAUAUCUCCAGAAUAAUAUCUCCAGAAUAAUAUCUCCUAAGAAUAAUCUAAUUAUAUUAAUAGGUGGCAACCGAAGGUUGGUUGAUCGGUGGCAACCAAAGAUUGGUUGGCGAUGGCCGCCAAAGUUGGUUGUCAGAAUUUUACUAGUGGAGUCACCGGAGGUGGUAGUCGGAGACUGGCCAGCAAUGAUCAUCAGAGGUGAUGUCCGAAAGUUGGUCGACCAACUUCCCAGCUCUUGAAACAAAUACCCCUAGAAUUAAAGAAUAGUAAUGGCAUGUGAAUUGUUUUAAACUCUAAUCCUAAUCCUCAACUAAAACUAAACUUUGCUCCAAACAUGCGAGAUUGGGCUAAAAAGAGUAUUGAUGACCUCUCAACCACAGGUUGUGUGAAACUAUUGAAUCAUGAUGCAAUUUCCAAAGCUCUUACAAGAGCUCAAGCAAGGGGCUUAGCUAGCUUGGAUUGGACACUUAUUUGAAGAUGCUUGUGUUCCUUAAUUCUUCUGUUUCCUAAAAAGAUAAUAUUUAUCCUAGUUGCUAGAUCCGAUCUUUUUAAGGCCCAAGUCAUGUGAAAAGUGAUUCACUCUAGAGAAAGGUUGUGCACAAGGAUAGUUAUUAAAUAUUAUUACCGCUGCUCAUCAACCUACUGACACUUUUACUACCAGAGACUUGAAAGCAUUUUUUAUGUCUUAAAGGCAAGCCCAUGCUCUUUCUUACUUGUUGCCAUUUGUUGGAGGUGAAUUUUGGUUAGCCUAAUACAUUUGCAUAGCAUUUUAAGCAGUAAAGUCAGUAGGUGGACCUCAGAAUAAAAUUAGAACAUGCCAAUUUAUUGGGAUUUUAUAACAAUAGAAAUUUAAAUUGUUGGAGGAUUAAUCAAAAGAUAUCAUGUCAUCGACCUACGAUUAGAAUUGGAGAACCAGAUCACAUUACUUAAUUUAAGAAAACUAUUUACGUACGUUAGUAAUAUAGAACAGAUGUUUAUUAAAUUUAAACCAUUCGCCAGUACAAGAUAUUACCACAGGUUAAGACCUUAAUUGAAGAGUGGGCUUUGUCCUAUGAAGUAUAGCAACAUGGACAAAAAUGACGAGAUUCAAAAUGUAAGAUGGAAAGAAGAAUGAUAUAUCUUACCUCAAUCGCAAAAAGACCAGCAGAAGUUGGUUCCUCAAAACGGUUUCUGCUACUUGAGCUUGAUGGGUCUUCUAGCUUAGAAAUCCUCUUCCGCACUUUGUGCUUUCGCUUAUGAGCAGUGUCAUCACUUUUUCUAAAAUCAGAGGACAGAUCCUAGUUGGGAAUGACAGUAAAAGGGUUAACGAUAGGCACUAACUCUAGUCAUGUAUUGAACUCCUUUUUUCUCUUACGAUAACAGUGGUAGAGUCGAAAAGCCCUAGGGCUGUUACUUUAUUAAUGAUCAAAAACAGUUGUACAAAAGGGGAAGCCUUACUCUAUGUAGGAUUUGUUUUAGUUCAACAUGUGAGGCUGGAAUUCAAACUUAUGACCAUCAAUACUUCAUACUUUAUUCCAGGUGAGCUAUGCUCAUAGCACUCUUUUCAUAUAGGCUUAAGUCAUGGGAUUUAAAUACAAUGAUAUUAACCAUACUAAUUAACUAAUAACCUAACUGUUGAAGUAGCAUACCCAAGUUUGAUUACAAAGAGAACCCUGACAUUUUAAAUAUCAAACAAAUCAUAGCAUGUACAAAGAUCUAUGAAUGGUGUUUCUUUCAUAAAAAAAAAAAAAAAACAACAAUAUUAUUAAUAAUGAUAACAAUAAUUUAUGAAUGGCACUUGAACUUGGACUCAAGAAAACCAAUAAAGUCAUGAAUGUGAAGAAAAUAAUGUAUUUCUCACCACGAAAGGAAAUGUAAAUCGUUUAAAAGAUUCAGAUACUUAAUAUUUUCCCUGAAGAGUUUAAUCUAGACAUAUGAAUUUCAAGUUACAACUUACAACAAAAUAAUUUAUUGAUUAUUUCUAGCCACUUAAACAGCAAGUUUGUGCACAUAUCUUAAGAGAGGAAUGUCUCAAAUCACCUUAUCCAGCAAAGAAGAGCGGGGCAAGAUUGAAUCACCAAAAGAGCAUAUGUCUUUAAUACUUUGAUCUUCAACAUUUCCGUAAUUGUGUAACUUUUCAGAAAGCAGGUUAUACUUUUUGGCUGAGACAUAGCCCUUGUCAGCAAGAGGGAGUUUCAUUGACAAGGGACCUAUAGAUUGCCCACUGCAAGGAAUAAAAUCCACAAUUCAAAGAGAAAAAAUAUAAAACAAUUACAGGAUAUAUGCCAUAAAGCAAUGGUGGAAAUUAACUGAUAUGUAACCGAGCCUUAGUGAAAGCUCAAGAAAAGACAUGCAUACAUACAGACCAAAUGCAAAGGAAUAUAAAAGGAAGAACAGAUAAUCUGAGACAAAAGGUCAACAAUUUAUAAAUUCUAGUUAUCAUUUACUGUGAAAAAGAAAAUUAUAUAUUUUGCCAGGAUUAGGUACACAAGAAAUGAAAAGAUGGACUUCAUAAUUUAUUUUCGAGGGAAAAAAUAACAGAAGACUUUCCGGGUUUGACUGCAAGAGUUGCAUCAAAAAGUAAGAAGACUCGGAACAUAGGCAAUGAAUAAAAAUAAGCAGCACUUCUCUGGGUUGAUUGGAAAUGUAGAUUUUCGCCCUCAAUAUUUUUCAUGCAAUUUUUGUUAUUUGUUUAUUAAAUGUUACUAAUUGCACAUUUUCCAUCCUUGCCUUGAUGGUUAGAAAACAGAAAUCUUUUGUUGGAUCACAAAAUGGAUAUAUCAUUCUUAAGUCUUUAUACUAGUUGUAAUGUAAUUGGACAAAAGCCCCACGACAGAAUGUUAAUGCUUGAUGAUGUCUGCAAGAAACUAUAAUGUAAUCUAGAAAAAGUAACAAUUGACAAAACCUUUGGAGAAUGUAAGGACCUUCAGGGACACGCUUUCCAUGUUUGAUGCAAUCUUCAAGCCAACGAUGAUUGACUAUUAUUGUUCUAAACUUCUCAGCAAGAUCAAAUUUCCUCCCUUGUAAUUCCCAACAAAUCUAAUCACCAUAAGAAUGGACAAUAAUUAACAUCAUUUUUUAGCCUAAGAUUGCAGACGAGUGAUUCAUAACAGAUAGAUACUGCAAUACUAUACUCCAUAAAGUGUUUCAUCAAAUCCCCAUCCAAAACUCCAAACUUGUUCUGUUUUACACAUGCAUAAUCGCAAAACUCAUCUUAUUGGAAAGCAAUUGGUGAACUUCAGACUGAAUUGAGAACUAAUAAAAAAAAAAACCCACCAAAUGAGUAAUAGACCUUGACAUUGCACCCACAUAGCUAGCACCAGUAUAAGAUAUCAUCUUGAUAAGGUUAAAUCUUUCUGUGCCAUGGUAGCCACUAACAGUCACAACCACAGAUUCCAUGCCUUCAAUUGGACAGCCUACAGACGUCACAAAAAUCAAAGCACUAAAUCCCAGAGCAAAAGAAAUCUAUGGAGUAACAAAAUAGGCACAAACACAGUUUAAUGUUGCAGCUAGAAACUUAAGAAAUAGAAAGCUUCCAGAAGAAGUUUCAUUUUCUGAUCAAACGGAUGAAACAAAUAGAGUAACGAAAGCAGAUAUUCUAAGCUUGCAAACCCUACAAAACUAUAUUGACUGAAACAGGACGUUAUCAAGAUCGAGCGGAUACAAGCUCCGGCAAACCCUAGAAAGAAUAUAAUUAGCAAGUGUGUAGAAACAGAUGCAUGAAAUGAGAGAGAAUCACCGGGAAUUCGAUUAGGGCAGGAAAGAAUUGUAUUAGCGAGACCAUGGUCUUCCUCGUGCUCUUCUUCCUCCAUCGAACCCUCAAGAAAUUGCCGCGAAAAAUUAGAAAUAAAUUUGAAUUUGUGGGAUUUUAAAACAUAGAGGAAUUGGGAAGGAAAUUUUGGAUUAAUAUCGUGGAUUUUGAAAAUAAUUAUAGAAACAAUACUUUUGAAAAUAUUUAGAGAUUUUAGGGUAAUUUUGCAUCUCUCUCAUUUUCAACCCAAGACCUUGCUACCUUCAUUUUUUUCUUUCCGUUUUUGGAGUAGCAUAUCCUGAGAUUUGCAUCGGGACCUUUGAAUUUUAAAAUGGUACAAUCACUCCACCAAAAGCACGAAAAUGUGAGAGCACCUGUCCCAGACCCUUAAUAGAUCCACCCAUGUGUCUUUGUAUGUUUUGUUUUUUAAUUUAUGAUCCACCUGACUAAAUUAUCGCUUUCUUUAUAUAUUUUGUAAUAAUGGUUUUCAGUUGGAAACUCAAACUUUUUUUUUUAAACUGAUAAUCUAACUAAACAAACUACCACUUUAUUUAUUUAUUUAUUUAUUUAUAUAUAUUAAUUUGUCUUGUGUUCAAAACCUAACCUUUUAUGUAUUUUUUUUAUUUUUUUAUUUGUAAUCUAACUAAACAAAUUACCAACUUUUAUAUAUUGACAAUGGUCUUGAGUUCAAAACCCGAGUUUGUAUGUAUUUUGUUUUUAUUUUUAUAGUUUGUAAUCUAAUUAAACAUAUCACCAACUUUCGAUCUUUUUUAUUAUUUUUUAUUUUUUAUUCCAUCUAACUAAACAAUUAAUUUAAAUCAAACCGUAUUGAAAUUGAUAGAAAUUAGACAUGUGAAGCAUAAACCGGAUCUAAAUUCUACUCUAAUUCAACUUAAUUAACGAGAAAACCUAAACCAAAAAAACAAAUUAGGCUUUUUCUUAGGAUACUUACAUUUGAAGCUCCGAUUGUAAUUUGAACUACCACUAAGGUUGACCUACUAUCAUCUAGACUCAUAAUCGGAGUGUAGGGCUCGUUGGAAGAAAGAACCGGGAGAGAGAGAUGAAAAUGAAGAGAAAUUUGGCUUUCUAUUCUUCCUUUUUUUAAAAAAAAAUAGAGAUAACCAUGAGAAUAGCAAAAUAAUAGAGUGCAAUUUAGAAAAUGGCAAAUUCUCAGAAUAAUUUGAUUUUUAGCAAAAUCGCAUGUAGUAGAUUUUUUUUAUAAAUUUUCAACUGAUUUUACCCCUUGAUAGUCUGAAACUCAUUUUUUUCACUUACAGUGUAUUUGUGUAGUGUAAAAUAAUAUAAUAUAACAUAGAAUUACGAAAAUAAUGGAAUAUAACACAGAGUUAUGAUUAUAGUGUAUUUGCAUAGUCUAUAAUCAAGGCAUGUCAUGCAGAGAGUUACGACGAACACAUUAUGCGCGACGACUUGACUCGAUGAUGUAUUGCUCUUGCGUUAUACACACACAAAUUUAGUAAGUCCAUAUUGAAAUUCCAACCAAAUAGCUGGGGACAUAUGGUGUAAGACGAAAUUCGCUUCUAUCUACUUUAGGGUUAGUAGAUAGGUUGUUCCCUUAAGGACUGAAUCCAAGUCUUGAACAAGGGGCUUCACCCUCUCAUUGGCCCGAGAGGGAUUUAAUUUAUAGGUUGGACCUUAAACCAAUUGUGGAUCAGUGGGACUUAAGGAACAAGAUGUAAUCUUUGAGGUAAAACGGUAUUUUAACCUAGCCGAACUUAUAAACAACCUGUGAAGAAUUAACUUACUAAUCAUGAUUAUAUCAAAUGGAUACAAAUAUAUAUGUAUAGUAAGGGGAGUGCAACUAUGAGACUUUAGUGGAAUGGCGUGUUAGUUAACGAAUGUCGAUUAGCUUAGUCUAAAAGAGUUUAAUCAGUUAAUCUCGAAUUGUUGGAGCCCAUGAUCUAUAGGUCCAUUAGGUUCAUUUGCUAGCUCAUAUGGAAUAAACUUAGAAUAGUAUGAUGGAAUGAGUCGAAUUGUUUGAUUUAGGUGAAGAGAGAAAAAUUGAUAAGUAUAUAUGAUAUAGCCAUCGAUUACUAGUUUAGAAACAGAGCUUUAUGUUUAAAUAUAAAAAAUAUGAAUAUGGAUUCAUACUCCGAAGCUCAAAAAUAAUGGAAAUGACCAAAAUUGUAAAAAGUCAAAAGGUUUACUUUUGACUUUGAAAAAUCAAACUUUGACCGGCUAUAGAUUCAAAUGUGAUUUGAAUUUUGAGAAAAUUAAUGCGGAUUCAUGCUCGGGAGGUCGAAUUUAGUCAAGAUGAUUGAAGUUGUAAAAUGUCAAAAUGUUGACUUUUGACUUGGAAAAGUUAAAGUUUGACUUUGACUUGAAUAGUCAUUUGACCCAUUGACCAAAGUUAGUGGGAAAAUCCAACAUUUUGUGCGAUAAUCUCACUAACUUUUAGCGGGUUAUGUGGUGGCUCAUGGUAAUGAUACCAAGUCCACUAAGAGAAAAUGUAAUAGUGAAUAAAUCCACUAAAGGUUAGUGGAUUAUAAGGUGUUAGCCUUUGGUGAUUCCAUUACGUGCAAAUUUGUAUGUAAUUUAUUUAUAAAGGGAGAGUUUUUCAUUUUUUUAAAAAAACUUUUUGCCUUUUUAUGAUUUUACUUUAAGAAAAAAAAAAACCAAAAUUUCCCAUUUAUUCACCUUUCCUAAAUUUCCUUCACUCUCUCAAUCUAAUACUUCUUCUUUCGAGUUCCACAACCUGAUUCUUUGUCUAGAGGAUAAUAAGUGACUACUAAUGGUGGUCCUAGUUUGUGAUUGAGGAGUAGACAUUUCUUUCGAAACUACAAAGGUUAAACUUUCAAUAAACCCCAAUUCCUUUUACUUUAGAGUUGCAUGUUAAUUAGGUGCAAUUAAGGUAAUUUUUCGAUUCUUAUUUUCGUUGCGAUUGUCUGCUUUCCUUACAUACUCAACCUCAAAUGUGACUACCAAUUAAUAGUACAGCUACCAUAUGUAUGAUUAACAAAUUUAAAAAUGAAGUGAUAAACAAUUAAAUUUAACAAAUAUGUAUGAUUACUUAUUCAUUUAUGACAAUAAGUUUCAAUACCUCUAACACUUCUUCCUUUUUAGUUUUAUAUUUUUCAAUAGUGGUUUUACGAAUAACACUCCCUUUGAGACUCCAAUUAUUUUGGAAAUGUUCCAAACCUCGUAAUAGCAUAUGCUCUAUUAAGUUUGCAGUUUCAAAGUGGAAAUAAAAAUUAGGUUACAAAACAAUAGAACGCAACAAAAUAUAAAUAUUAGCAUUACUUUAGAUCAUUUUUUUCUUUGAGUUGGCACAAACAAUGAGCAGAUAAAACUUGAAAGCAACAAAAAUUUAGGACAACAAGUUUAACUACAAGGAUGCAUCUAUAUUUAUAAUAAAAUUGGAUUGUUCUUGAUUCUAGCUAUGGAACUUUAAAAGACAAUUUUUUAAUUAUAAUAAUCAUACGCAUUUAUUUAGGGUCUUUUAAAAAAAAAUAACAAAGCGGCAUAAUAUUUACACGCUAUAGAAAAUUUCUGAAACAGAAAAAGAACACUGGCACACAAUAAAAAAUAAAAAAAAUGUUUCAUAAUUAUUUUUCAUUAUAUUUAUGAAAAUUAUUCAUGCACAUAAUGAUUAUUUAUUAUAGGGAGGAUUUAUAUUUGUUUAUUAUUACAUUAUAAUGAAACAAAUAUUGAAAGAAUAAAUUAAAAUUAUUAUUUAUUACUAGCCAAAAAAAAUUGUUUAUUACAAACAACAUACGAACGUGUGUGAGGUUUUCUUUCAUUAUCUAGAAAGGUAAAUUAAAUGACAGUGACUUAAAAUUGACAUUAAAAUAUAAAAAAUAACCGUGGAUGACUUUUUUAUAAAUUAAACACAAUAUGUAGGGUAAUAUUGCAAAUUUAGAAUUUGGCCAGAGAUAAAAUAUAAUAAUAGGUAUAAUAUCAAAUCCAUUUUCUAAAUAUGGCUUAAAUAAAAGUGAUUUGGCUACCAAAUUCGUAUUUUUUCAAAAUUCUAUUUUCAAUUUAUAUAGCAAACAACCUUUUAUAAUAUGCUUUUGAAUUAAGGGCUAGAUUUGUAUUUUAAAGCUCUUUUCGUCUAGAUAACUUUUAAUCCAAACCUCUUUAUUCCUCUUUCAAUGUUUCACACCUCAUUUCCAUUUUGUCUUUAAUAUCGUACGCUUUCACACACUUAUCUAAUUUGUGUUAAUCUUGACUACACUUUAGUUCUCCAAACACAUAUUUAGAAUUUUAAAUAGGCUAUUUUCAAAUAUAAUAAAUCGAACCAAAAUAUUUACAAAAUAUAGUAAAAUAUCACAGUCUAUUUACGAUGAACCACGAUAGACUAUAGACACAGGUAGGUACUAGUCUAUCGUGGUUUAUGACAUUUUAAAAAUAUUUUCAGAAGUUUUGUUAUUUAAAACAAUUUUCUAUUUUAAGUUCAAGCAUGGAUAAUUUGAUUUAAAUAAAUAUUUUAUGUUUAAAUCUUACUUUGGUUCCUAAACAUUUUACAACGUAUCUUCAAACAUUUUAAAAAUACUUACUUUGGUACCUGUCAUUAAGAUUUCAUACACUUCUUAUAUUUAGAUUAUUGAGUUUUAUAUUAUCAUAUUACUUAAACCGAUAAAUAACUAAUAAAUCUUGUUAAUUUAUUCUAAUUUUUUUAUACCAACACAUUUAUCAAAUUUGUUAUUUUUUACUCAAAGUAUCUUACAUUAUUAUUUUUUUUAUUUUUCAAAUGGAAAUGUUGAUGGAGAAAAAAUGUAAAUAAAAUUGAUAUAUUGUUGAAAGUAAAAAAUAUAUAUAUAUAUAAAAGAAAGCAUAAGUUGUGUAUAAAUUAAACCCCAUGAAAUUACCUCUAGAUUCAUUAUUUAAUUAAUAUGAUUUAUUAAUUAAGUAAUAGGAUGAAUCUAAUGAAUCAUAACAUCCAUCCUAAAAAAUAGAAAGAAAGAAUUGGAAGGAAGAAAAAGAAAGAAUCAGAAAAGAUCUAACAUGAGUUGAGGAAAUGCAAGUGGAAGUGCAAGUGGAAGUGCAAGUGGAAGUGCAGUAGAAUAUAAAGGAAAAGUGACUUUUUUUUCCUAUAGUUAUCGGAUAAACAUAAAUUAACCAUGUGAUAUUUAAUUAAAAAUAUGCUAUUUAAAGAAAAUUUAGGAAUUAAACAAAAAAUUAAAAGAAGUUUAGUCCUCAAAAUUAAGAAUUAAAAGAAUAUUUUAAGGUAAGAUUAGCUUAAAAAUGGGUUAGAAAUUGAUUAAGAAGACCAGUGGUCAACCUUUUAUAAUUAUUUUUAUCCUUAAAAUAAAACACGUUUUUAAACUGAAUCCUCAAAUUUCAACCCAAACUCACCUUUAGGAGAAAAGGGAGAAAAAAAGAAAUAACACCGGGACAUCUCUUCCUCAAUCCGCCGGUGUCCGCCGUCGCAUUUUUCAGCAUCACUCACCGGAUAAUUAUACGUCAACUCAUCGUCGAUCAUGCCGGAAGACACCCUUCCCAUAGACUAUGUAAUGGAAGCCGCCUCCGGACCUCACUUCUCUGGCCUCCGACUCGAUGGACGUCUCGCCUCUCCGCCGUCUUCCUCAACUUCCUCUCCGGCUCACCGCUCUUCUUUUUUAUCUUCCUUUGCACAGGCCGAUACCAACUCUCCCAGGCAGCCCUUUGUCAUCGGUAAUUUUUCUAUCUGUUCUUUAUUACUCUGUGAGGGGAUUUGGAUUUUUAUGGAUGAGUUUUUCUUUUUCUUUUUUUCAUCUUCGCCAUUCCUCUUUUGUUGAUCCUCCAUUGAAACUUACAACUCUUUCCGUUUGGAUCGACAUCCUUAUAAUUGUUGCUAUUAUUAAUUUGCUAGGUGUUUCUGGAGGUACCGCUUCUGGGAAGACGACGGUGUGUGACAUGAUUAUCCAGCAACUUCAUGAUCACAGGGUUGUGCUGGUCAAUCAGGUUAGCUUCUUAUCUGCUGGAUCCUACUUAGAUUUUCUUCCGUUUCCUGAACUUCAUGGCUUUGCUGUAGGACUCGUUUUACCGCGGGUUGACAGCUGAGGAACUAGAACGCGUACACGAGUAUAACUUUGAUCAUCCUGGUAAUGACAUUAGUGAUUUUUUUUUUUUUUUUUUUUUUUUGUCUACUCUCAUUGUAAAGGAAAGCAUAGAGAUUCAAUGCUGUAUCAGCUGUAAAAUAUUUCUCAAAUGUAUGUGAUAACGAUUUGAUUGCUUUUAAACUAGGUGAUGUUGAGUAUAGAUAAACGGGGAUUAAGUUUUCCAUAAUCCAGUAGCAUAAGCUACUGGGUUUAGUUAUCAUUAUAUUCAAUAGAAACAGUACAUAAUAUAUUUCCCUCUCUUUGAUUAUUUUAAUUGAAUUGUUCCUAGAUUCUUUUGACACCGAGCAGCUUGUAGAUUGUAUCGAGAAGCUAAAGAGUGGCCAACCUUACCAUGUCCCAAUUUAUGAUUUUAAAACUCACCAACGCUGUGUAGAUAGUUUUCGACAGGUGCCGACAGCUCUUUCCAAGUGUUCACUUGUUUUUCUUUCUUGAGGGUAUUGGGCACAUUCUUUGGUACAAUUCUUUCAGAAAAUUAAUCAUUGGUUUGCACCAGGUCAAUGCAUCUAAUGUUAUCAUCUUGGAAGGUAUUUUGGUUUUCCAUGACCAAAGAGUCCGCAAUCUGAUGAAUAUGAAGAUAUUUGUUGACACAGGUUCAAAAUCUUGCUGCUAUUACGUUCUUUGCUAUUGUUUUUCUUUUUUCAUUUUAACCCUGUAUAAUUUCACUUUUCACAUCGUAGGCUUUAGACUUUUGUCCUGAUUGUAUGGAAUUUCUUGCAAAGCUUACACAUUACACUCAAUGAAUAGUAUGAGUGAAGAGCUCGGAACUGAGACUUAGUGAGAACAUUUUGUUUAGAGUUUCUCAAAUCCUGUGGAUGAAAUGAGAUAUGUGAAUGCUGAAAGGAAGAGUAGGAACAAAGGGUUUGUUGGUCCUCUUUGGGGCUGACAUUUUAUUAUUUUCAAAUGUGCAAGAGAUUUGAUUGAAAUAGAUUUUGUUCCUCUACAUAUUACCAUUAUUAUUAAAUAAUCUCUACCUUCACCUAAUGUUUGGUAUUGCAUUGAUUUUAGAUCCUGAUGUGAGGCUUGCUCGUAGAAUUAGACGUGAUACGGUAGAAAGGGGCAGGGACAUUAACUCUGUUCUUGAACAGGUAAAAUAUAAAUAUUCUUUCCUGAAUUAAACCUAUUCCAUCUUUAAUUAAAAAGGUUGAAGGCUGUGUAUACAUUGAAAUAUUUCGCAAGUAUUGCAUAGCUUACUAUCAUCAUAUUGUCUUUCCUUCAGACCCUAAGGAUUUUAAAAAUGCUCCCCCAGCUCAUUACUUGGUUAUUAUCAUAACUAAAUCAUAAUCAAUUUGAGAGCAUUGUGAAAAAAGAAAGAUGUCGAGGAACUCAUUACCUUGAGCCAAAUCAUUUUUUCUAAUCAUGGCCUGAGAAGAAAUCCAAAUCAUGCCUCCCUUCCCCAGUCUAAGCAACCAAAAUCAAGUUUAUGUCUGAAUAGUUGAAAAAUAGCCUCAAUCUAACAUGAUCAAAUAGUUAUUAUUGCAAUGAUUUACUUGGUCAUGGACUCAUGUCCUACUCAAUGAUAUCGCAGGCUUGUUUAUCAUUUAGAGCAGUGACUAAGGGGAAUAGUUGAAGUGUCAGAAGGAUUUGCUUUUGUUUAUGUGAGCUGAGCAAGUUUUAUAGUUUGUGUAUGAAUUUUAUAGCAGGAAUAACAAUAACAAUACUUCAGUGUACAACAUCUGACUGGCAUUCCUUUGAAAUUUGUUUUUAAAUUCAUUAUAUACUUGAGUGAUGUUUUCAUUUGUAUUAUUUGUGCAGUAUGCCAAGUUUGUAAAACCUGCUUUUGAUGAUUUCAUUCUGCCAUCAAAGAAGUAUGCUGAUGUGAUCAUACCACGUGGGGGUGAUAACCAUGUUGCAAUUGAUUUGAUUGUGCAACACAUCCAUACUAAGUUAGGCCAGCAUGACCUAUGCAAAAUAUACCCCAAUGUUACUGUCAUUCAGUCAACAUUUCAGGUAUCAUAUAACAUUUUCAAAUAGCAAUUCCCUCUAAUUAAUACUUUAUGUUCCUCUUUUUCCUCUAAAGGACUGGCCAAAUAGGCUAAACUUUUUACCUUCAGUUGUCUGUCCAUAUUGUUACACUUCAUACCGGAAUCAAUCUUCACCAACCUUGUGGAAAAGAUUGUGUAGACUGAGAUUUAUAACAGUAGACUUGAGGUUCUUAUUUUUUCUAAAAAAGUGUCAAAGAUAUGUGUAACAGAGAUGGAACUUGUUGCUUGAGAAAUGAGCCCACUGUUGUCACUGGUUUAGAGGUUUACAUGAAAUUUACCAUUUAUGUUGAUUGUUUCAAACCAGACUGUUAGAUUAAAACCUCACUAAAUACUAAUUUUCAUAAACAAAAGAAAGGAUAAACCCAAGUGACAAGAUACUCACCAACUCAAGAAGGUGAAAGACUCUUGGUGUGAUCUACUAAGUCACAAAAGUUUAAAUUCCAAAAACACUACCAGCCAACUAAAUACCCCAAACAACAAUAUAUGCGAACAGUACAAUAUCAGUAACAAUCAACACAGAACUGGCCGGGGGGUGGGGGGUGGUUGAUACUUGGACGACAAUGAGAGGAAUACCCAAUCACCAACACAAAAUUCAUGCACUCUGCGUUGUCUAUUUGCAAAUUUCUUUAUUCAAUUUUGGGCUGACUAGGGUGGAAUCGUAAUUGUUGAACCAUUUCAUCACUUUCGACCAACUGCUGGUCAAGAGUGGCAUUCAUGGUCUUCUGGCUACCAUAAAGCAUAAGCGUAGGUGGGGACCAACCAUAGACAAUUUGAAAAGAUGAAGUUUUCAAAUUGGAGUGAUAGGUCAUGCUGUGGCAUACUCAGCCCAAUGAAGCGACUUCGACCAAAUUCUCCGGACUUUCGUUUAUGAUCUAUGUUUGUCCAUCAAUUUGCAGAUGGUAGCCUGUGCUUUGUCUUAGCUGAGUGCCCUUUACACCGAAUGUUUCAACCCAAAAGUUGCUCGCGAAAAUCUUAUCACGAUCUGAAAUUAUUCACUUGGGAAACCAAUGUUGCCUUGCAAUGUUUUUGACAAAAGCAUUAGCCAUUGUCUUAGCUGAAUAGGGAUUUGUUUGAGGAAUAGAGUGCACCUACUUAGUCGAUCAACUAUCACAAAUCCUGGAAUGUAAUCAUGCAAUCAUGGAAGCCCCUCAACGAAAUCCAUUGAAAUGUCUUUCCAAAUUCGAUCAGGCAUCUAAAGGGGUUGCAGAAGUUCAGCUGGUGACAUGGAUCCACUCUUGUUUCUUUGGCAAGCGAUGCAUUCAUCCACAUUUCUUAACCAUUCCCUUCAUUCUUGAUCAAUAGAGUUCUUCUUGUCUAUUGCUUGUAUGCUCUCAAGAAUCCCAAGUGGCCAACCAUAACCGAAUCAUGGUAGGGUUGUAACAUAGCGGGAAUACGUUUAGAGUUGGGUGUAAGUGUCAUCACUAACCACCCUUUGUACAUCAGGGUGUCUUGUUUUAAGGAGAACUUAGGAUGGCUGUAAUCAGUGCACACUUUCUGGAAAAAUUCAACUGGACUCACUUCUUCCUCCACGAUAUCUACCUCAAGGAUGGUCAAAUUGAUAGUUGUUGAAAUGUACAAUAGGUGGCAUAUGGGAAAAGAGCAUCAACAACUUUGUUCUCUAAACUAGGACAAUAUUGGAUCUCAAAAUCAUAUCCCAAAAGUCUUGCCACCUAAUUUUGUAACCAUGGAGGAAUUGACUUAUGCUCAACCAAAAACUACAAAGGUUGUUGGUCAGUUCACUUGAUAAAUCUUCUUCCCUAACUAGUAGGAUCACCAUCAUUGGACAACCAUUACUAUAGCCAUGAAUUCUCACUCAUAGCUAAUUAGUAGGAUCUCCAUCAUUGGACAACCAUCACUAUAGCCACGAGUUUUUGGUCAUAGGCUGACUUAGCUUGGCUCUAGCAGACAACAUAUGGCUAAACUAUCCAAGGCGGAGGAAAACCGUGGUCAUCAAUUAUGGGAGUGCUAGUAUGUUCGGGCUGUGUGGAAUUCUCUUCUACAAGAGUUUGGCAUUAGCUACGCUGGCUAACAGAGCAUUCGUGCGACAAUUGAGGAAUUACCCACACAUCCGCCUUUCAGAAAGAAAAUGUGUUUUUUGUGGCUUGUUGGGUGCGUGCUGUGAUUUGGGAUGUAUGGAUGGAGAGGAAUGAUCAGGUGUUUUGUGGUAGGGAAAGGGACCAUAAUGAGGUUUGGUCUUUGGUUAGAUUUCAUGUGCCCCUUUGGGCUUCGAUUUUGAAGGACUUUUCUAACUAUUCCAUUGGAAACAUUUUACUCAGUUGGAACUCAUUCUCAUAGGUUGGAGUCUUUUUUUGGGCUUCUGCCUUUGUACUAUUUCAUUCUAUCUUAAUGAAAAUUGUUGUUUCUAUAGAAAAAAAAAACAUAUGGCUAAAAUAGACCAUGGGCCUUUGAUUUUGAGAGAGUACAACCCCAAUUGCCAUUUUAGAUGGAUUUAUCUCUACAAUGAAAGCAAUGGAGUAAUUGGGCAAAGCCAACAUAGGCAACAUAACGGUGACCUUUUUUAGAGCUUCAAAGGCAGACACGUCUUCAUUUGUCCUAGUAAAUAUGUUGUUUUCGAUCAUUUGGUGUAAGGGUUGGGCGUUUUGGCCAUAAUUCAAGAUAAAAUGCUUAUAGUAGCUAGUAAGGCACCCAGAAAAGUUCAAAGUUCCGUAACGUUCAAAGGUUGUGGCUGUUCAAAGAUAGCUCAAAUCUUCAUUGGAUAAGCCUCGACUCCUUCGGUUGACCCAGUGACCUAGAUAAUCUAAUUUCUUUUGUUAAAGUACACUUCUUGAGAUUGGCAAAUAAAAUGUUUCCGCACGAUGUAUUGAAAACCAUAAUGUGAUGAGUUAUGUGGGAUUCCAUAUAAGGACUAUCACAAUAACGUUGUCAAAGAAUACAAGAAUGCACCUUGUAGGAAUGGGCAAAAAACUCUGUUCAUGAGGUGCUUGGAAGGUGGCUAGAACAUUCUUAAAGCCAAAAGGAAUCAUUAAAAACUCAUAGUGGCCUUCACGAGUGUGACACAAUCUCAAUUACGUAUGUCUUAUUUACCCUAAUUUGGUGGUAGCCUAAGUAGAGAUCCAAUUUAGAGUAUACUUUUGGCCCCAUUAAGUUCGUCUAGGAGUGCUUCAAUGAUAGCCAUAGGAACGGGAAACAUGUCUGGGAUGGUAGCUUGACUCAAUUUAUGACAUUCACACAAAAUCUCCAACUACCAUAUUUAUUUUUUACAAGGAGGGCACGGCUUACAUAUGUUGUUGAGAUGUAUAAUUCCAGUUGAUAGCAUCUUAUCAAUCUAUCUCUCAAUUUCAUCCUAGUAGAUGGCAGGGUAACAGUAGGGCCUCAGGCUUAAGGGUUGCUUCCACUUUGUUAGCAUGAUGCAAUGAUCAAGGUCUCGUGAGGCUUAGGGCUGAAGGUUUGGUAUAUAUCUUCAUACUUAUUUUACAAUCUAUGGAUCUCUGAUGGUAGUGAUGAAAUCAGAGUUGCCAUGGGAACAUUAACGUUAUUCACUUGAGCAGUAAUGACCCGUAGUUGCAGGAGGAAUCCCUGAUCACCUUGUUCCCAUGAAUGCUUCAAUGUAUUAAGAGAUACAUCUCUCGUUAUAAGCAUAGAAUCUCCUCUGUCACCACGCAAGAAUCUCCUUGGGGAAUCGCUAUGGUCCAACUCUUCCAGUCCACCUCUGUCACUCCCAGAGUAUUGAGUUAUUGCAUCCCAAGUAUAAGGUCAAUGCCUCCUAAUCAAGCGACAGGAAGUCCUCUGUAACCAUGAGAUCUGAAAAGGACAAAACCACUUUUUUGCAAAUGCCCUUUACCACAACUUGCUUCCGUUAUUCUGAGGAUCAUCCCAUAGUUGGCAGUGGCAGUAUAGGAACUAAGAAGUUUAAGCUUGUUGACCACCUGUGGGGAAAUGAAAUUGUGUGUGGCUCCCCAAUCAACCAAAACCACAACCUCUUUGUCUUCCAGCUUUCCUUUUACUUUAUAGUAUCAGAAUUCGUAAUUUCGACUACAAUGUUCAAGAAUAGCUCAACGGCUCAACCAUCUCUUCAACUGGUUCCUCGGAUGGACCCUUUCCACUUUCAGUGAUCAUUCUCUCUUCCAUCACUCGUUGUUGGCAAGCAGCAACCUUAACUCCCUGCUCUUGCACUUAUGGCUAAUGGUGUACUUUUGAUCAUAUGAGAAAUAAAGAUCCCUUUCUUUUCUCGCUCUAUGUUUGAUAGACGUUUGUAUGAAACUUUGUUCUUUCUUUUUGGGGGGUUGGUGGCCAGUGAGAGUAAUAGUACGAACAGGGCUGGGAUCCUAGUCCUGGGUUUAUUAAAAUGCUUCGGGUUGAAAAAGAGGGAUUGAAAGAUUUCUAGGCCUUGGAAGAAGGUGGGGCCAAUUCUGUUUUGGAUGGCCAUAUUUUAGUCUUCUAUUCUUUGGGCUGCUUUCAUAGUUUGGGCCAAGCUGACUGGUUCAAACAGAUGAAUUCAGUCUUGAUAUCUUCAUCUAAUACAUUAAGGAAGAGGCACUGACAUAGCCUCAAAUCUCUCCUUGAAAUCAGUUAUAGUUGAUGCUUGCUUGAUUGCUAGAAAUCUCCUGCAACCGGACCCCUCUGAUGGAUGGAAAUGAUCCAACAUCUACCGCUUUAAAUCUUUCCAUCCUUCAAACAGUUGACGACCGUCAGCCCAAUUACACUUGUGAAACGAUGCACUGGAGAAAGAGAAACUACUUGUUGUGAUCUUCGUGGUUAUUAAACAUUAUUACAACAUUUUUCUAGUUGUCGUUUACCAACUUUACAGGGUCUUCCAUUUGUUGUGCAAUAUUUUCCACAUUUUGCAUCAACUCUCUCAUUGUCUUAUUAAUUUUAGGCAGCUUUGUCACCUCUUCUCUAACAUCGCUCAUAUUGUACGUUCUGCCACAUCUAUCUUUUCCUUCUUUCCUCGAGCAGUCUUUGUGCCAUCUUUCUUAUUUUCCCAGGAUUGAAAUUGAACAGUGCUCUGAUACCAAUGAGGUUAAUACCUCACUAAAUACUAAUUUUCAUUAACUAAAGAAAGUACAAACCCAAGUGUGAUCUACUAACCACAGCUGAAGUCACAAAACUAACCUCCAAAAACACUCCCAACCAUCUAAAUACCCCGAACAAGAAAAUUAAGCAAUCAGUUCCAUAAUAGUAACAACCAAGAUUGUACUGGUGGGGGGGAUUCUCAUUUCUACCCCUUUUAACAUACGUACCAACUAUUAUUGCCUGACAGACUGAUGAUAUAUGUUUGUUCCUGUUCUCAUUUUAGCUGUUACUUCUCUCCAUAAUCUCACGUGGGUAACUGUAUUCACAGAUAAGAGGCAUGCAUACAUUAAUUCGAGAUCGGGACAUUUCAAAACAUGAUUUUGUAUUCUAUUCAGAUCGACUCAUUCGUCUGGUACUUUCCGCUACAAAACUCAAAUCCUACUUUCAUUUUUCUAGUAAAGUUGUCAUCGUGAUAGAUUUUGUUUCUUUUAAUUCUCAGGUUGUGGAGCAUGGCCUUGGCCAUUUGCCAUUUACUGAAAAACAAGUGAUCACUCCUACGGGUGAGUUGAGGAAGUAACCAGGCUUUAUACUUUCUGAAAUCUAUCUGUGCAAUAAACUCAUUUCUCUUUCCGUGAGUGUCUAAAUUUGUCCUACUUUCUUGGUGUGUGUUUACUGAUUAAUAAUGAAUGUAUGCUUUUGAUCUCAGCAUCUGUAUACACUGGGGUUGAUUUCUGCAAGAAACUAUGUGGAGUAUCCAUUGUUCGGAGGUAAGCUUGACAUGACUAUCUAUGAUACUUGAUUUCUGAAUAGUUGCACUAAAAUUUAUCUGAAAUGAACUUGCUGGUUGUAUCUGUUGUGAUCAAUUUUGGAUGACUUUUGAGGGAAAAUGAGGUAUAUUAAUUAAGCCUUGAGACUUGAUGAGAAGGUUCUCAUUGAUGACAGUUCUCCUCAAUCUAAUAAUGUAGUGGUGAAAGCAUGGAAAAUGCAUUGCGUGCAUGUUGCAAAGGGAUAAAAAUUGGGAAGAUUCUGAUUCACCGUGAGGGAGAUAAUGGGAAGCAGGUAAGACUAGACUGAUGUUACUCUUGAAUUAUUGAGUUUGUUUGGAGCUUGAUCUGGCCUUUCUUUUGUCACUUUUGGUGUUAGUUCUAUAAACAUUACAAGAUUUUUUUCUUUUUCUUUUUGAAACUAAACAGCUGAUAUAUGAGAAAUUACCUAGUGAUAUAUCAGAGCGACAUGUCCUGCUCCUAGAUCCCGUUCUUGCUACUGGUAACGAUGUCAAUCCUUAUAUUAUAAGUUAAAAUUUCUUUUUACCUAUCAUUAGUAAUACAACAAUAUUUUAUCUAUGCAGGCAACUCAGCUAAUCAAGCAAUUGAUCUACUCAUACAAAAGGGAGUUCCAGAAGCGCACAUCAUAUUCCUGAACUUGAUCUCUGUGAGUUAUUUUAUCCUAUUCAAAUUGGUUAAAACUUAAUAGAAUUGGUUGCAAAAAAAUUCCUUUACUGAUGUCAAAUAUCACACCUUCUGAGUUCAGGCCCCUGAGGGAAUUCACUGUGUUUCCAAACGCUUCCCAUCCUUGAAAAUUGUCACUUCUGAGAUCGAUGUUGGAUUGGACGAAAAUUAUCGUGUCAUACCCGGCCUAGGUGAAUUUGGUGAUCGUUACUUCGGUACCGAUGAUUAGUUAUGCAUCUAGCUGGUUGGAAAGUAUCACAUAGCUCAGUGAAUUAGAUAAAAAUCCAUGAAUUAAUCAUUGUGGAAGAUCAGCUGCAGAUUUUCUUAGAGAUUCAGCAGUAGUCUUACCAAACUGUAGAUGAAGUAUUCAACAUUAAACUCAAUUUGUGCGGUAGAAAUUAUCGAAUCAUUGAUGUGAACCCAGACACGAGUGAAGGAAUCUAUUUUUUGUUGAAAGAUUAUGUCUAUGAUUACAAAUUCAAAUAAGAUUUUUAGUUCUAAUCAUGAAAGCAAAGAUUGCAAUCUAGUUGUAAAAGUCAGAAUGGCUCUCUCUAAUGCUGAAUAAAUUGAACAGUUUGGUGCCAAAGGUGUUGGCUUUUUGUAUUUGUGUUUUGUUAGCUCAAAAGGCAAAAAGAAUAUCACGAGGAGGUUUGAUUGGAUCCUUGAAUCCCCAUGUAAAUGUAUUGAUAGAUAUUGAAGAAUAUCGAAACCGUCACUUUGCUAGUUUCUUUUGUUACACAGCUACUCAUUACUUACCACUUCAAUUUCUCCUAAUGUGUAAUGGAGGAGACUGAUAAAAUUUUGCAAGCCAACCACCCCUCGUGUGGUACACCAUGAAAUGGAUGAUCAUUUGGAUUGAGUUUAGGGAUGAAGUGUACACAAAAAUCUGACCCAAAUGUCUACAUCAAUUAUUUUAUAGAUUUUGAAAAAGUUAAAAGAAAUAGACACAAAGGAAAAAGUUAAAGAAACAUCUUUCAAAAUUGUUUGAUUGUUGGGGAGUAUAGGUAGGGUGUUGUUUUAGGCUUAUUGUUGCAUAAUUAUAUUUGUCAAAACAUGACCAACAGUCAAUAAUGUGUUAAAGAAAUGAGCAUGGAGGUUCUCUAACUUUGACAAACACAGUAGGACUCGACCUCUUAGCAUAUUAAAACAAUGUUUCGAAUGGGAGAAAUAAGUAAAAUGGGUAGAAACAUGCUUAUAACUAAGUGAAUAUCAUGUCUUAAUUAAAACCAACUUCAUAGGAACAUUUCAGGAAUAAUAACUAAGCUAUCAAAUAUGAAGGACGCCACACCACACCACACCACACCACACCCUUCCAACUUUUUUACAAUUGGAACAAACCUUUUAUCCAUUUCAAAUAAAUCCAAUCUGCGUUAAAUGCAGCAAUCCACUAAAAUUGAGGACUCUAGAUUUUAAAUCAAAAUCUGAAAUAUGUUCAACAAAUAAGCAUUUGUAAAUUGUAACUAAUUGGAAAAAAUAUAUUCUUAAAAUAAAAAAUUCCUAAGAUCAAGAAAAAAAAAUGUGUAGAUAUCUUUACCAUGUUUGUAUAGUAGUAGAAGUUUGCAGAGUUACUAAACUCGUAAAUGUUAUAGUUAAAAGGUGAUUUUCUAUAAUAUGAAAACCAUCAUUAAUUAUAAUUAAAGGUGAUGAAGACAUAACUUAGGAUUUAUUUUUAAAAAUAAUUUCAGAUCUUUUGUAUUCAAAUUUAUAAAUGCAUCUAAAUUAUUCUUGGUUUUAACUUCCUUUAAGGAUAUUUUUUUAUUUUAUCUUUUAAAAUCUUUUAACUUUUGGAAUUAUGUCCACAAUGCACAAACAAUAUUUUAAAUUUUAUAAAUGGGUUUGAUAGUAUAUAUUAAGUGAGAAUACACACUAUAUAUUCAAUUAAAAACGCAUCUGUCUUGAGAUUGGUAAUGUUUAACCUAAUAGGGUAUCCACAUUAAAAGCUUUUUUUUUCACCAAAUUAUUGUUUUUAUUUGUUUACGUUUUGUUUGAAUUUGUGUCCUAAAACUUCAUCAUUAAUGAGUUAUUUAAUAAUUAUUUUAUAUAUCAUUCAUUGCCAUAAUAAUCUAAAAUUAUUCUGUGCAAUUUUGAAUAAUAUGUGAUUUUACCUACUAAUUGAUCAAUAUUUAAGAAAUAAUCUAAAGGGUAUAUCAUAUAAAAUAAACUAGUCGAGUACUUCAAUUCGUUGACAUUAUAGAUAUGAUCGCAUUUUAUAAUUGGAAGAAACGACUUGUCUAUUUAUUCUUGGAGUUGAAGGCUUGGCCAGUCUUUUCUAGCAGGAUGAAUUGAACAAUUUGAUAGUUGGUUUCUUUUCUGUUCAUUCUGCUAUGACCAUUUUGGUCUCUUUCUUAUUCUUUUAUUAUUAAUAAUACUAUUUUUAUGUGGCAAACACAUCUUAACUCUCUCCCAACUUCUAAUGCAUUUGUUAGCUACUCCCUCACCGAGAGGAUUGCCUUUUGUGUCUUUGUGCCUUUACGUCUUGUAUUCAUGUCCCUCUUUCUAUGCAAAGGAAGUAAACAAAUUUGGUCUUUAUGACCCCAUAGAACUUCUCUUUCUCUAUAGUAGUUAUAUUCUGAUGUUGCUUCUCGUUCUUGCAGAGCUUGCAAGAGGUUUUGAACUAGAUGGAUAUCAAAGAGGUUCACGCUUAUUGCUUAUGCUAUCUAAAGCAGUUGCAAUCUCGUUUUCUGAGUACACAACUCUUCCACCUUAGAUCUUACCCGGUGACCCUUUCAAAUGGUGGAAUUUACUAUGGAAUCAUGCAUGGAUUAUUAGUUGUUCUCUAGUAGGGUGAUGUCCAUUCUCUUUUCAUGUUUUAGUCCUCUUCUAAACUCCGAGAGAACAUCUAUCAUUGGUUAGCCCCACUCUAAUAUGGUUUCUUCAAGUUGAAUUUUGAUAUACAAUAGUCUUUAAUGGGGAUGCAGGUAUUGGAGUUUAAUGUUCGUAAUUUCAAUGGCAAUGCAAUGUAUGCAUGACUUGGAGAUACAUUUACUUUUGUCUAGUUUGUUUGGUAUACAAAAGCUAAUGCCAGACAUGGCGGAAGAUAUUGUUGGACAAUGAGAGUCUAGAAAGCUAGCAUAGGCUUCACUCCAUAUUGAAAAUUAAUUCCCUUAUCAUCUAAAAGCUUUUGAUUGGAAAAUCUAUAUAUGUUAAUAAACUUCAAGUGUUUGUUGAUUCUCUUAAUUGUUUGCAUAAAGGUAAUUUUGAUUCACUAAGUAGUUCUGUUUUGUCAACUGCAGAAUUACUCAUUAGAAAGAAAGAAAGAAAAAACAAAAGUGCAAAGCCAUAGAGGUGAGGACUAGAUGGGAUGUAAAAAAUAGAUAUUUGUAGUCCAAAUGUUAUAGAUCAUAUGGUUCAAACGUAUCAAAUACUGUAAGAACAACAUAAAAGUAAAAUAACAAAUAGGGUGGAAACAUGAUAAUGGCUAUGCCUAAUGCCCCUAUCCCCAUCUUUAUUUAGAUUACGAAAGCUUUUUUCUUCUCGUACACUCAUUCUCUUAUUCUUCAACAAAACAAAAUGAGCAUCCCUAUAUUGAUUGAAUAUAUCUUUUCUUUAUUCAUAUAUAUAUAAUUAAUAUGUAUUACAAUGACACUUCUCAAAUAAUUAAUGUACUGCAAUGGAAUAACUAAAUUAAUGCAUUAUAUUAUUGUAUUAUAAAUUUAGUUUGAAUACAUUAAUUAAUUUAAUUUACUAGUGAAGUCAACAAAAUAUGUAUAAAAGUUUAAAGUUGGAAGCAAAAACAAAAGUAAUGUCAUAAAUUAUAAUAUAAUAAAAAGAAUUAGAUACUUAAACAAUAUUGUAUAUAAGAACAAGAAAAAUAUAAUAAACGUGUAAAAUAUAUAUGAGAUUGUGCUCUUAAAUAUAAACAUUGAAAUUUUAGCACUACAAUAAGAUGGAAGUCACAAAUAAAGGUUGGAAUCUUUUCAUCUAUAUAUAUAUAUUCUUUGAUUAUUUGUUGAAAGGAAAAAUGAAAAUUAGUCUAAGGUAACCUUUAAUUUAUAGACUACACUAGAGAUAAAAACUAAAUUAAUGAAAUUUGAAUUAAACUGUUUUAUGGAAUGCAUGGUUCUUUCCAAUAAUGGAAGGGCUUUGAGAAGUAAAUGAAUAAUGGUGAGUGUUACCAACUAAAUGACAAAUUGAAGUUGUAUUUAUUAGCUAACUAUGACUAGAAAUUAGGUGGGAAGUGGGGUUCAAUAAUUUAAUACACAUAAUAUAUACUCUUUUAUUGUUAGAGAAGUCUAGAAUUCCAAUUUGAAAAUUAUAUGUUGACUUCAUCUUCAAGGUUAUUACAAAAUUUAACUCUCCAUAUUCAUGCUAACAGUUUCUUUUUAUAUAUAUAGAAUUACUAAGCUGAAAUCAAUUCCUUGAUUAUACGAAGAUCUAAUGCUAAAUUGCUAAUGAUAUGCGUUAUCGUGUAAGUUUUCCUCUCUAUCGUUUAAGUGUAGACGAAGAGAGGUUUUCGGGUAAGUCUAGGGUCGAACACAAAGAAUUUAAGUUUCUAAGUUAUCUUAUUGCGCUGCUAAAUCAUGCAGUAUAAACUCUACAAUGUAACAUAUGAACAAUAUACUUUCUAUCCUAACUAUUUACACUACGGUAUUUGGCGAUGCAAGGUGACAUGAAAAAAAUGAGGAAAAAUGGAUAAUGAACUCGUUAUAGGCAUGACGAUGAAGGAAUAGUCUAAUUAUGUAAACGCAAUGAAUUGUGCUUCACAUUCAAGGCGAUACAGAGCAUAUUUUUUCUCUAAAUUAGGGAACGAGUUGCCUCUCGAUGCUUUUGCCAUACAUGUCCUCCUUUCGGGAUCCAAGUACACAAAGUUAAACUAUGAUUUAUAUUUAAUCAUUUUAUAAGCAUUCUAACUUGUUUCUCCUUGAUUAAGGCGGAAAACCUCUCGGUGCUUUCGUCGCACACAUUGUCAUUUCUGCAACGUAUGCAAAGGAUGAACUUGGCGAUAAGAUUGCAUUGCUUCAACCUUCUCUCUAAUCACGUAGUUAAAUGUGUGUUCUCACUUGUCAGAUGAUUACAAUCAAAAUCAUUGUUCCUCUCGAAUAUACAAUGUUCUUGACAUCCACACUUAGCUCAGCAAAACUUAAAAUGCAAACAUUAUGGUUCUUUAAGCAUUAAAACACAUUUUAUUUCUAGCAAGCUAAUCAAACGGAUCAAAUAAGGCAAGAAAUAGACAUACGAAAGAAUAAAAGAAGAAAUGUAAUGCAUUGAAUGAAAUAAUUUUAGGCCUCUCCACCAUCGAGUACAUAUUACAAUACAAAUAAUAUAAAUAUAAAAUGGAAGAAAGAAGAAGGAACUACGCCUUAGAGUAUGAUUUAUCAUCCUCUUUGGCUCCGAUUUUUGCCUAUUGAUGAGAGAAAUGAUGAAGGGGUAAGAACUCUCUCUCUCUUUUGCUAUGGGCUCUCACUUAGAAACUCAAGGAAAGGGAGGAUGGACAAUGUAAGAACUUGCUCUCCGGUCAAAGUUUUUGCAUAUUUUGUUCUGAAGUGAGAGGCUUCAUUUACAGGCGAGAUUUGAUGUUGACAGGAGACCACACGCCAUUAAUGUUUUUGAAAAGUUGCAUCGGCGUCGUGCAGACUAUCCUUUUGUCCUUUUUCUGACUUUCACGUCAACCAAUUUUGUUUGCUAGUGUCCUAACGCCUAGCUUGUUUCUUUGUUCUCACAUUGAUUGAACGAGUCUUCACAUGUAGACAUUAUUUCAUCGAGCAUCACUUAUUUUGCCUAAAAUCCUGCAAUAAAAGCACUAAAACGCAGUAAAAAAGGGACAAGACUCUUUCAUGUUAUGUUAUUCAUAAUUUAGUCAAAUCGUCUACUUUUUCCCUUGUAUUUCUACGAGUUAUCACACCACAAAAUUAAAAUAAUGUUUGUCCUCAAGCAUCAUCCCAGGAUUCUAAGCAUGGUUUCUCUUGUGCACAUCGAUAGACUUCGUUAUUUUACAUAAUGCAAUUCUAGUCUAUCCUGCAUUCUAGCAUUUCUUCUCUUCUUCACUACUCUAAACUUGAAAAUAUUUCUAAAUUCUAAACGUAGCAAGCUUAAGUCUCAAAAUAUCCUUAUUCAUUUCCAAAAAAUCGUAUUUUCUCUUUUUACGAAAUGAUUGUUGUUUAAAAAAUUCUUAGUUCCUUUCUUUUUCUUGCAACGCUUUUAUUAGCUAAGUUUAUUUAUUUACAUACAUUUGGCGUUGAGUGAAAAAUCAUAGGUACCCUAUGAGUCUAGUCCUCUCCUCAACUAUAACUUUUAUUGUCACUUAUUUACUUACUCUCAGAUUUGGACGAAUAAGCUUUGCUUCUUAUUUACUUGGUGAGAGGUGGCGACAAUGGAGUUCUUAUUUCAAUUGAAUUUAGAAUGAAAUAAUAUGCUAGUUUUUAUAUAUAUAUAUAUAAAAAGAAUUAAAGCUUGAAAAGGAAGGGUUACUUGAUUUUUCGAACACUUUAGCUCGAACCUUGCACACCCCCAAAUUUAAAGUCUCACAAGGUCCUCAUUGCGAAAAAAUGAGUAAUAAGAUGAACUUAGAAAAAUUUACAAAAGAGAUUUGAAGUAAAAAAUGUUCACCUAAUGACUACGAGAAAUAUUUACGAAGUUCAUUUUGCUAAUAAAAAAAAGUGUCAUCGUUAGGUACAAGCUAGAUGAACUUAGCAUAAUUUUCAUUAUGAAAGUUAUCCUUGCAAGAAACAAAAGAAAACAUGAAAAGAAUCCAUAAAUGAAACAAGUGCCAAGAAAAGUAAAAUGCAUAACUAGAAGAAAUAAGGACUUGAAGAGAUUUGAUUACUAAAUCGAAUAAGCAUAAUACAAAAGAGCUGAAAUUGAAAAGAAAAAAUAAUAGAAUUUUAAAAACAUCCCCCCAAAUUUAAUUCUUCAGGUGAGGAUCAAGUUCACUAGAAGUGGGAUUCGUUGGUUGAAAGGGGGAAUGGUGUCAUCAAUUCUGGUACGAUGAUAAGCUAACAGACACGUUUUACGAAUAUCGUGUGCAUAUACUUCAUUUGUGUUAUGAAUUGCAUGUCAUGCUGCUUCGAGAUUUGACACGACUAGUUAGAGCGGGCAAAAAUCAAACCUGUUAAGUUUUGCAGUGCAACUGAAAAUUGCAAGACCGUGGAGUUAAUAUGGUAGACUAUGGCUUCUAACCCAUCCAUUUUGGCACCGAGUCUUGUCACUGUUGUGUUGAGGCUGGUGACUUGGUUUUUUAGUGCCACAUUCUCCCUAAAGCACUUCUUGAAAAGCCUCAUUCAUGGGCCAUGCAAUUAUAUUUUAGAGUAAGUCACGAAGCACUCCUUCGUUAUACGCUUGGCCUUCAACUUUGGGCUAUGUUUGUCGCGUUGAGCUCAUCUCACCUCCAUCUUCUCUGACAAGUAGGUCUUUGAAGAGUGAGUUAUAAACGGUGUGCUAGGUUGUAGGGUCUCGUGGCACUACAUUAUCUGCCACAUUUUCUAUCUCAAUGUCCCCUUCUGAAAGAUUGACUACUGGAACGUUCAAGUUAGGACGCUUAGGGUCUAAAUUGAUGAUUGACGAGUUAAAGGGUGCAUGGCUUGGCGAUAGAUUUUUGUCGCGAGAGAGAGGUUUGAGGAGUUUGGACUUUGGGAGGAGAGGGAGGAUUUUCAUGAGAUAGGGAUGACAAGAGAGGUAGGGUAAGUGAAAGAAUGGGGUUGAUCUUGGUGGAGAAAGCUAGGCGAGGACUACACUGGCUGGAAGAGAUGGGAGAUGUUGGUGGAGGUAAUUUGGUUGAUGAAGAAGGCGAUUUGGUUGGUGGAGAGGAGGUGGCGUAAUUUCGUCAUAAGGUAGAGGUGGAGGUGGAGUGUCAUCUUGGAGUUGGAGUGAGUGAGAGAGAUCUCUUCUAAGACCCUUUUAUCUUGAGUUUUAUUCGCUUUCUGCGCGGCGGGUCAACGUCAGACAAGAGUGUUCUUAUUCACAUCAAUCUCUACCCUUGAGGUUGAUUCCUUUCGUUUCAGUGUGGGUGGAGGUGGACAUGCAUAUACUUCAUUAUUUUAAACUUCAUGUAUCCCUUGUUUUCAUGUCUUCUAACGGCUUUUUCUUCUUAUUUUGAUGGAGGGUUCUUAACGCACUUAAGCCCCGCCAAGUUACACCUCCCGCCCAUUUCUAUUUGAGGGUUUCUCGCCAGGGUGAAAAGGUACUUCAAACACAAUUUCUUCAUUGUGGUUGGGAAGGGUUUGGUGCCUUUGGGGUUCCUCAUCCAGCCAAGGAAAGCCUCAUUCAUUACAAUUUCCAAGUUAAACGUCGACUUCUUCAUGAUGCAGUAGAGGAGCAAUGGAUACUCAAAUGGCACCGUACUAUCAUGUCACGUGGAAAUUAUCAUCUUCUUGACAAAGAACAACCAGACAUUGGCUUCUAUUGUCAAUUGAUGUGGAUAUAGUUGCAACUUCUCAGUUGGCGUUUCUUUCCAAGACACGUCUGGAUAGGUGAUACACUGUUCAUAUCAUUUUUAAUAGGCUUGGUGAUAAUCCUCUGGCCAGGGUAGUCAUCCAGAUUAUUGGAGAGACCAUAUAAUUUGUUGAUCUCUUUUGUGAUGAAGGUAACCUUCUUGCCUUCCACUGUUGCAAAUGAUUCCACCAGAUGGUAUUUCACAUCAUAAAACAUAUUUACGACAUCCAGUCUCGCUUUUGUUUCUCCUCUAAAUAACUGCUCUCAUAUGAACACCUUGAUUGGCCCAUAAAGGAAGUUUGGUAGAUUACCACUAAACGAGAAGAACUCCCUCUCUCUUUUUGUUCUAAGCUCUCACCUAAAACUCAAGGGAAGAAGAAAUAAUUGACGAUAUGAACUUGCUCUCCAGCUAAGAUUGCACACCAUAUUAUGAAGUAGAGACUUUUAUUUAUAUGCGAGGACUUAUGUUGACAGGACAUUCCAUGCUUCAUUAAUGCCUCUAAAAAGCUACAUCAAAGUCGUGCAGACGUCCUUUCAUCCUUUUUCUGAUAAUAGAUGCCAACCCAAUUUUUCUGCUAGUGCCUCUGAUCGCCUAACCCAGUUGCUUGUCAUCAUGUUGGUUGGACACGUCUCCUCGCGUAGCAUUCUAUCAUCGAGCUCUACUUCUUUUUGCUUAUAUCAUGUGAUAAAAACAUUAAAAGUGCGAUAAAACAAGGACGAAGUUCUUUUGCAAGAUGCGAUAUACAAGAUAAUCAAAUUAUAUUUUUUUUCCUUUGUUUUCUUUUGUUCUUAUGCGAUAAAAUUAAACUUCAUUAUUUUACAUAAAAUGCUACAAUAACUUGUAUUUCUACAAUUAUCACUUAUUUUAUCCUUCCUUACCUGGCCGAAAGGCCUAAUCACUUGGGGAGAAAAAACUUAAAAAGUAAGUCAAAGACCUAGUGAGUGAUACUUUUAGAAAAUCUUUUAGAUGUACAAAGCGUCUAAAACUUUCAUCAAAUAGGCUUUAACGUCUCUUUUACAAAUCAUAAACACACAUUAGUCUUCCACAUUCAUUUCGUUGAAAAAAUGAACCAGUCUCAUGCACAUAGACUACUAUGAUGUCUGUUUCAUCAACAGCAUCCUUGGAAGAAUUUCCUGGUUCGUUUUUCGUUGCUCAAGUCUUUAAGCUUAAUCAAGGCUCCUUUUACGCAUUGGCCAACUUCACUCCACCAUGCAGCCAUUCCCUACAUGGAUGUCUUUACUCCUUGUGUGCACAUAAUAGUUAGCUUCAUUGAUAGGAAUAAGACAAUGGUUUACAAAUAAACAUAGCAUUCAAUGUAAUCAUUUAAUAUAAGACAAUUUUUCUUUCGAAAACAUUCUUUUCAUAAACAUUAGUGAUAAGAACAACAUUAAAAACAACAUGAACUUUGGAAGAAAAGCUUCAAAAUGAUUUAAAUUUCGUGUAGCUUAGAAUGCCUUGUCUUCAUGCUUCUUCUCGCCUAACUUCUUUUCUUUGUCCAACAGAGUAACACUAAUGAUUUUUGCAUAACCAUCUUUCUACUAUCUUUUCUCCUUUAUUUAUAUUUAUCUUCAAAAUAGAUUAGGUCAUCCUUAAGUCCUUAAUAACUUGUCAAUUCCUACUUAGAACUUUACACGCGUAUGCUUAAUAUUUCUCAUAACCAUGUUUAGCUUAAGCUCUUAAACAUGGCCCAUUAAGUAUACUAAGAAAAUUUCCUAAAAACUUUCUAAUUCUUCACCGCAUACUUCAACUCGCUAGACCAGACUUGCUCGCUCUCUCUUCACCUUGCGUCGCUUAAUCUUAAUGUCAAGCAUUCAAAACACAUUUCCCUUUCCCGCACCAUCCAGCUCUACGGCAACUCAACAUAUAUAGUACUUAGCUUCUCAAACACUUUUUUUCUUCAAAAUCUUCUCCAAAAUCCAUACUAAAAUACUUAUUUUCCAAAAUUGACCCUUCUAUUUAAACAUGGGUCUUACAAAGUCUUUCUUCUCUUGGAAGCAAUGGUACAAAAGUAGGAUAAAAUGUUAGAUAUAGGACUUUAAUGAACUAGAAAUGUGAACACAAAUAUAUCACUAUCAAAUUCAUAACUAUCUACUUCCUAUAUCUCAUUACUAUUAAUCCAUGUUUGUCUAGAAAUGAUAAGUGGUUCAACAAUAGUACCACGAUUAGGGUGACGUGAGUCGUUGCAUUGUAAUGACUUAUAAGACAAAACAUCAGGAUGAUGUGUAAUAGGUGCAAGUAUCUUUUUCACAACUUUUUAUUUUAUCAAACAUUUUGUUGGGUAUUGCUAUUUGUAAGAUACUGGAUUAAUGGUUUUAAAAGAAUGAAGUGUUGAUAUAUUUAAUGUAGAAAAUGAAGAGAAAAAACAAAAAAGUUUGCAUGUGAUAUGAUUAUUCAUUAAUGUUAAUAAGAAAAUAUUUUAUAAUAAACCUGAAAUUAGGGACAAAACGUCAAAAUAAAAUGAAUUGAAAAAAAAAAGGUUUGUUAAAAAUUGGCUACCAAACAGAGGAGGAAGGUUAGAUGCGGUGAAAGACUGGGAAGAUGACAGAGGUUUGACUGGAGAAACAAAGUUUGGAGUCGGAGUUGGAGGUUGUGUUUGGAUUCAGGGUUAAUUCCAACACUCACCCUGGAAAUAAUUGAGUUCUUGACUAGAAUAUGACUACACAAACACACAUUGUGGACCCGCAACCAAUCACCUACUCAUCUUCUUCCCAAAUCUCUCUUCUCUUGCCGUUUUCAACUUUAUUUCUUCCCCUUUUAUCAUCUUAGUCAACUAUAUGCACUUUAUACACCCUUUUCUUUCACUUUCACUUUCUCUCUUCCCCCAUUUUCUUUUCUUUUCUUUUCUUUUCUUUUCUUUUCUUCCUUUCUCCCUAUUUGCCAAAUCAAUAAUGCUUCAAAUUUAGAGAAUUUACUUGCCUAUCAAAGGAGAUUUUAUGGCAUAUUUUUAGAUUUAUUUGCUUUACACCUAUUAUAAUUAGGUUUUAGUGUUCAUUAAUGACAUUUUUCAAGAUUCAUUGAACAGGAUAACUUGAGUGGCAUAUUUAAUUCUCUCAAAUGUUCUUUUCCUACACCUCUUGUGGGUUUUAGAAUGUUAGCUUUUCGCCUAAACUUCUCCUUCUUGUUUGAUGCUUAUAGCAUCUUCUAGGUCAAUUUUAUCCUCUCCAAUAAAAUCACUUACAUCAAGUCUUAGGCUUAGGCUGACUAAAGCGUUUGUGUGGGUUUAAUAAUUCUAUAAUUCUAUAAUUUUAUUAAAUUUGAUUUAAUAUUGUUGGUUCUAAGGAUCUAAUAAACCUAUUCUUCAAAAUAUAGAGACUAAAAAGAAUCCCCAACAGGGACAUGGAAGAGAAAAUGAAGUAACUCCAAUCUCCACUGCAAAACCAAUUCCGAAAUGGGGAUUUCUUAAAUUGAGCAAAACGAAAAGCAAAGAUUCCUAUACAAUGGCAAGGAAGGAUGGAGGAAGCUAAUAGGAAAGUUGUGGACUUUGAAAGAAAUAAAUGGGUUAAAUUACCCCAAACUCCCUACUGUAUUCGAAGAUGGAGUCUAAACAAUAGGGUUAAACCGGGGAGUGACAAAAUAAAAAAUUAACGGGUGAAAAUUGCCAGUUGUUCCUUGUUUGAUAGCUUCUGAUUGGUCAGCUAUGGGCCCCAUAAGACGUGUCGCCUCGUCAGCCCUGUAAUUAAACUGAUUCUGCACACGUGUACUGUUGUCCUUAGAGACCCUCUCCCAUGGAUUCAUUCUUCAUAACGUUUCAUUAUUUAAAUUUACCAAUCUUCUCCUACACAAAUCAGUUUUCAUUUUUUAACCAUUAAUUUCUUUCUAUUUCUACACCUAUCAAAAUUUCGUUUUAAUUCAUUUAUUCUCUUUUCUUUCGUUUACGAAUAAUAUUAAAUAGAGAUAGACAUAUUACUAUAAAAAUUAUAAUAAUAAUAAAUUUCUUUCCACACGCACGGAAGAAAAUUAAGUUCAAUUCUUUUUCCUUUCUCCCAAACUACACAUCUUUAUAGGUGCAAUCUAAGUUGUACAGAGUACGAGCUAGUUGAACCAUAUAAUGUUAUAUCUAUUUUUCUUUUCAAAUCUUCAUGUAUAUUUAGAAUCUAUAUCUUUGCUUUUAACCAUAGAAUGAGGUGAUGAAUCAAAUUGAAGUUCAUUUUGCAAAUCAAUGAGUUCAACGGGUUUGAGAUUAGAUUUCACUAUCUACUUACAUAGAACAACAACAUAUUUAUAUGUUUUUAAUGGAUGAACAUUUAAGUUAUCUUUAAUACCUUGUUUGGAAGGCUAACUUUAGAUCUUUUCUUAAUCUCUUUUCAAAAACUAAAGAUUUUGUUGUGCUAAUUAUUUAAUUAGCUUUUUUUGUUUACUUUAGAUAUGUAAAUGUUUCGUUUUGUUUGAUUAUUAGAAGAGAUGUUAAUUUUUUAAACCUAUUGACAUCCAUCAUGCAAGGGUAUCCUUAAGAUAUUAAUUGCAAGGGUAUCUUCUUUUAUUUUAUUCAAUUGUCAUGAGAGUGAUUGAUUUUGUCAUUGGAAUGACAAACACAUCCAAACAUAAAGGUUUGCAAUUUUUAGAUUAUCUAAAUAAUUAAAUAAUUAAAAUUAAACAUUUUGAAAACUCUCAAAUUUCUUCACUUUCAUUGGAAUUCUUUUAACUCUAGUAUACAAAUGUCUUGUACAUUCAUCAAAUAUCACUCUUUAUAAACAAUUUGACAAACAUAAUCACUAAAAAAAAUAAGUAUCUUAAAGACAUUUGUAAAAUAUAUUGAAUGAUUAAGAAGGUGACAUAUGAUGGACAUUAAGCUUAAAUACAUGAACAUCUAUAUUAAUAAUGUUUAUAAUACUUUGGUCAUUUCAUUUUAUUAAUUCGUUGCCAUCACUGCUCAUUUAACUACUCAUUCUAGAUUUAUUUUAUUUUGAUAUCAUAUAAAAGGUUUUAUUUUUUUUUAGCAAAUAUCAUAAAUAAUUAUUUUGAAAAAUAAUGUAAAUGUUUAUAGUCUAUUUAAAAAAUUUACUAUAAAUAGUUUCAUUUUUGUUCAGUUAUUUAUACCAAUUAUCCUGAUUUUUUAAAAGUACUUAAAGCUUUUAAUAAAUUACUUUAUUUGGAAUAUGAUAUAUUUCAUUUAUUAAUGGUUGAGAUGGAUGCAUGGACAAAUGUUUGAAAAAUCACAUGCAAAAGGUUAUGUGUACUCGUUCAAGUAAAAUUUUCAAAAUCUUUGACUCUCUCACUACUUAAAAAGCUACCAAAUAAAUUUUGACCUAAGGAAUUUUCAAAAACAACUUUUUAAAAUAACUCUUUAUCAAAUAUAACAAAAUUGAUUCUGUUAGUUCAAUUCUUCUUAAUUGUAUUUUGUUAUAUUUUAUAAAUACAUUGAAUUUUUUAGUACUCGUGAUAAUUCUACUCUUUGUUAUUUGUUUACUAGUUUUGUUUUAAUUUGUAGUUUAUACGGAGAGGAAGUGAAGAAGUAAGAUAUUUGUAGUUUUUGAAAAGGAUAAUUGUAAUUGAUGACCAUUUGAGAAAUAAUAAUUAAGAAUAUAACAACAUUUAAAAAAAUUGCAAAUAUAGCAAAACUAUCGCGGAUAGAAUUGUAUUGCUGAUAAACUCGUAUGAUUUAUCGGUGAUAGACCAAUUUUUACAACAUGAUCUAUCAGUAAUAGAUUCUAUCAUCGAUAGAAUUUGACAAAUUUUGCUAUAUUUACAAUUUUUUAAAAGAUUACUAUAUACUUAAUUAUUUUGAAUUUAAUUGCUAAAUUUGCAACUAUUCCUUUUGAAAAAUUAACCAAGAUUGUUAUUUACCAAAAAAAAAUAAAUUAAUUUUAUAGCUAAAUUUAUAAAAACGGGUUUUUCCAAAAAUAAUAGAAAAACGUACUAGUACCUUUCAUUAAAAAAAACUAUUAAACUCUCUUUUCCUAUUUUUGCAAAUGCUUUUUUAUUUUCCUGUAAAUUGCUUUUCAUUUUUUCUACUCAAGAGAAUUAAAACAAUUGGGCUCUUACCUUUUUAUUAUUAUUAUUAUUAAGGCAAUAUAUAUAUAUAUAUAUAUAGUAUAGCUUUUUUGGAAAGUGUGCAUAGAAAGAUGCCAUUCAUUUAUUGCGCUAUUGUUGUCCUGAUCCAAAGUUAUUAGUAUUACUAAACUUUAUCAAAAGAAAAAAAGAAGUAUAGCACACAAAAUUGAAAUAUAAAAUUAUAUAAAUUAAAGAAAACACUUUAUCAGUUUAUCAACGAUAGUAGAGGUAAGAUUUUGAUUCAAUUACUUUUGUGCUGAUAAUCAGUAUUUAAUCGAUUAAAUUAAGUUUGAAUUAGUGAAAAAAUAAAUAUAUACUUAGAAGUUGUUUGAUUUUUAGAACUAAAAUAGCCAAAAUCUUCAAAUGCUAGUUUGUUUGCAAGAAAAUUGGUAGAAUGUUAAAUAAAUAUUUAGGUAGCCAUAUCUUUUUAAUAGGAAUGUAUUGAAAUAACAUUAUCAAAAUAAAAUAUAUUCUCAUAUUUGUAGUGAAAAUGUGUAGAAUUUGAUUAGAUUGAAAGAGAGAAAAUACUUCAAAAACAAAAACUUGUAAUUGGGUGUGUGUGGCGGCAAACUAUAAGGUAGGUGACUUUGGGUUGGAGGCGACGAUGAUGAGAGAUGGGAAGGAUUGGACAUUUGAGUGGUGGAGGCAUGAAGAAUCAAAUUUAGAUUAUGUAUCCAAUUAGGAAUGUGUUUUGAGUAAACAUUUAGUUUUUACCCUAAAGUUAAACGUGAAGGAAGAAGUAAAAUUUUUCAAAAUAAAAGAGAGAGAGAGAGAGAGAGAGAUAAGAUUAGAAAAAGAAAUAAAAUGCAUGGAUAUAUUUUGCAUGGGCAAUGUCGAAAAUAGCCCUGAGUAGAUAACUCGUAUCUUAAAUUAUGAACAAAUAAAGAAUACAAGGCAUGAAAUGAAUAGUUGGAAAGAGGAGAUAAGAAUUGCUUCCAAGGUUGCGUUGCCUCGGCUUUCACAUACUUAUACCAAAGAAUAAAACUACAUUACGAUAUUUAUUAAAUAACGUUGAAACUACCGAGUAUUAUUUGCAUAUUUUGGAUGCUUUCAUUCUUUACUUUUUCUUUUUU
This 48235-nucleotide long non-coding RNA is filed under the name Cucumis sativus (cucumber). Its description in RNAcentral is "long non-coding RNA (CSAT_LNC001022)". Lineage: Eukaryota; Viridiplantae; Streptophyta; Magnoliopsida; Cucurbitales; Cucurbitaceae. The record is from RNAcentral.